Molecule: long non-coding RNA, 61838 nt
Filed under: Coffea arabica (coffee)
Lineage: Eukaryota; Viridiplantae; Streptophyta; Magnoliopsida; Gentianales; Rubiaceae
Description: long non-coding RNA (CARA_LNC000761)
Source: RNAcentral
AGGCGAGAAGGGACUUUGAAAGUGCAAGAAACGUAGCCAGCUUCGACUCGGUCGACUCGGAUACCGCGAAGGGCGUAAUACUCGUAGAAGCUAGAAUCGAGAUGGGGUCGGUGAGGAGGGAAGGUGAGUUGGGAUACGCGGUCGGACUCUUCCUUGGCUAGCUGAAGAGAUUCCCUGGCGUUCUCCAUUUUGGGUCCUAUCUGAGCUCUGGCAGGAGUAUGGCAUACGAGUCCAUGAUUGUCUUCAAUAUAACGCAAUCACCCGAUUUGCUAGUCAAGGCCGUCCGAAGGCGCCGUUUGGAUUGAGGAAAAUAAAACGAAAUGAAGGGAAUGGGCAUCAGUGGGAAAAAAAAAAGGGUACAGGAAAGCCGUUUCUGGCUAAUAAAUGAAAGAAAUUGUAAAGUUUUUGCUUAGAUUAAGGAAGAAACGAAAAGAAAGAAAAACAUCAACUGUUACCGAACACAAAACUAUAUCCCAACAAAAUAAUUAGACUAUUUCCCUCCUCAGAAAUCAACAUAAAUUAAAAAAAAGAAAAGAAAAAACUAAUCCCCUCCAAUUCCUUUCGUUUUCUUUCCCUCCCAUUACCUCAAUCGAGAUUAUGCCAAAGUUUACAAGGUUUCUAGAAUUAUAAAAAACGAUGUUAUAAAAACAGAUUGACGGAUUGCAUCCUUCACGUGGUGUAUUGCUAAUUAAUCAUUUAAUAGUGAUUAGUCGUUGACAGACUAUUGAUAUUAGUAAUGUAUAUUGAACAUCUAAAAUUUUCCCUCUUAUUCAAUAUUUUUAUUUAUUAUUGGAUUAACUUUUUAUGUACUGACGGUUUAGUAAAAUUUUUUUUACACCAACGAAUAUGAAUGUAUAUCAUAUGUGCAUUAUUUGAAUUUUAAAAUUGAAUUCAUUAGCAUUUGACAUGUUUAAACCUACUAGUGUAAAAAAAAAAUUGUACACCGAUAAUAUACGAAAAACUUUUACUCUUUUAUAUUUUUCCGAUUUGUUGGUUUUUCGACAUUAGUUGACCCUAUCAUUGGACAACACAGUUUCUACGUUGUCUCUCCCACUCUUCUCUUUUCAUCCCCAAAUAUCUUAUCCAUUUUUUUCCCAUUCAACCGCUUAGCCAAGUAAUUAAAAGUGCCAAUUUUCUAUGGGUCUGUCAAACAAGGGAGUAGGCAUUGGUUAAGAGAGAAUUUAUUUGUUGAUAUUUUAAUGUAACAUAAUAAUUAUUAGUAUGUGUAUUUAUAUAUGAUAAAUUAAAUAUAAUUUAAGUGUACUAACAAAUGCUACAUUAGAAAAAUCCGUCUUUUAUUUCUUUCCCUCUCUAGUGUUGUUAAGGUUGGUGUAAAUAAUAUAAUGGAUGGGAUGAAUAUCUGUGGUUUUUUUCCUAAGAAAAAAGCCAAUAUUAUUGGCAUCAAUAUUCCCCCUCCAACUCUUGACCGGUUUUAAAGUAGUACUACUUCUUUACCCAUAAAUUCUAGCUAAAGCUAUCUUCCCACAUUUCGUUGAUGUGGACCAAAGGUUAAGUUGUCCUUAAUAUCAAAUAUUAAUUAAAAGGAUUAAAAGAGGGAAGGUAGAGACAGGUGAGUUGUUGGGUGGUAUGCUGAGAACAUUAAUUACUCGUUGCGAAAUGUUAGCCAAGCAAUAAAUCAAGGAGAAGUUUCUGUUUCCCAAAAAGAAAAGGAAAACAUUAGUAAGACUAAACAGAGAUGAAUGUUAUUUGCACUCUAUUUUUUGUUAUUUGCAUUCUCAUAAUUUGUUUUAUAAUAUAGUUUAAUAAAUGAAAACUAUAUGAUAAAAAUAAUAGUGUAAAUGUGAUUAUCAAAAAUAAAUCAAGGGAAUUGAUGUUUCGAACUCCCUAUUUAGUUUCUUGCACUCCAAAUCACUCACUAAAAAUAGUCUUUAAAGAGUGCUAGAGGCUAAUUAAGAAGUGCAAAUAUUACUUUUCUAAAUCAAAGGUAUGUACUAUUUAAAAUGUAGUUUAGGUGUUAAAAUUUUGAAAAAAUAAAAUUAAUUAGAAUUAUGCACAAAAUGCAAGAGAGGAUGAUGAUUAUCGAUGCUUAUUCGCAUAAUUUGUUAAGUGUGAUUUAAAUGUAUUACUCCCUCCGUCCCACUUUGAUAGUCCUGUGUUCCUUUUUCAUCUGUUCUAAAUUGUAGUCAACUUUCCAAUUGAAGAAUGUAGUUGUAUUUUAAUUUUCCUAAAAUACCCUUAUUCAAUGUAAGUUGUCGUUACUAUAAACCUACCACAUUUAAUGAGAGUUGACUCUUUUUUACCAUCAAUUCAAGUUCUCAUAAAAUUGUACUCUAUUUAAUGUGAUGAUAUUUUAGGAAAAUAGCAAUCUAAAUUUACUUUUCCAACAAAGUUAACUACUUUUUCUUAAAUUGUGUGAAAAAAGAAACAAGACUAUUAAAGUGGGACGGAGAGAGUAAUUAGUAUUCAAUAAACACUCAUUAGAAAAAUCUAUAAAAUCAAUACUUAAAAAAAAAAAAAAAAAAAUCAGUGUGCAAAUCCCAAGCCCCAAAGGCAGCACAAGGGAACCCCGGAUUGAGUGAGUGAGGGUUUAUCGAAGGAAAGGCCCAGCGUCUGUCUGUUCACACUUAGUCAUCCAUUCGUCUUCGGAUACCUUGUCUUGCAACUCUGCCAUUUCGUUUUCUGCACUGUUACUUAUCACAGUACCACUACUGUCACCACACCUCUUAAUCUUGUUUUCUUCCAUACUUCUUCACACCAUUUCCGCCCCUGUUUGCAGCUCCACCUUCUAAAAAAUGAACCCAUUUCGGAUCACCCAUUUCCAAAUCCAAUGACUCGUAAUAAACCCGAAUUUCAAGCCCAUCCACCUCGUACCCGCCGCCUUUCCUCAUGUCACCUCCACCCGGCUGAUCCGGCCACCGGCAUUUGCGCUUCUUGCUUACGCGAGCGCCUCUGCGGCCUCGACUCUUCCGCUGACCUCCUCGAACCCUCUUUUUCUGCUGCAGUCAUCCCGUCUCUCGGCAAUGGCGACCUCGCCGGAGCUGGACCAGUUAAUUGCCUGAACAAAGCUGCAGCCGCCACGUCGUCUCCGGAGUUGCGCCGUUGUAGGUCUGUUUUUACUGCUAAAUGCGAAAGCUUCCACCAGCUUCGCCGAGCCCAGGCGCAGGUCCUGCGACGUUAGGGCUCGAAACGUGAAAAGUCUGGCCCAUCUGUUUGAUGUGGACGAUGAAUGUAGUAAUGGAUCUAACAGGGAGUCCAAGGUUGAAUCCAAGAAUAUUACCACGGCUGCUGCUGCUGAGUUCGGAGAAGAAAUUAAAGUAGAAAAUGCAGGAGGAAACAGGGAUCCCAUGUUGCAUUCAAUGGGGACGAGGAGGAGGAGAAGGAGGAUGAUUUGGAAGAAGGAGAGGUCAAGACGAUGAAAGAACACAUAGAUCUAGAACUGCAGAGCAAGGGCCAGAGGUCGAAAGAUUUUAAGGAAUUAGCUGGAAAUAUAAGGGAGGCAGCUUCUGUUUUCAGCAAGAAAUUGCAAAAAUGGAAGCAGAAGCAGAAGAAAAAGGUUCUUUAUAGCAAUGAUGGAGGCACUGUUGAUGGGAUUAAUUGUGAAGUAAAUGGUCCAAAAGGGAAGAAAUUGGAGGAAACUCAGUCUGUGGCUGCGGAUUAUGCAAUGGGCAGGAGAUCUUGUGAUACAGAGCCUAGGUUUUCUGUUGAUGCUGGGAGAUUGUCUGUGGAGGGCGGGCGCUUUCGAUUGAUGAGCCGAGAGCUUCUUGGGAUGGGUAUUUGAUCGCUAGGACUAUUCCCAGGCUUGCUCCGAUGUUGUCAGUUGUGGACAAUGCGAUUUUAAGUGGCGGAAAUAGGAUUGAUCAUCAUAGAGCAUCUGUUGACGGGCAAAUGCAUUCGAUAAUGGAAGAUGAGACCAGUUCUGGAGGGUCAGCUCAGUCUAAUUCGGAUUCCUCGUCUUCUCAAAGGCGAAGUAGUUUUGAUAGGUCAAGCUCUGUUAGGAGUUUUGGGAAGAAGAUGGCGGUAUUGGAUGGGGAUUAUGCGAAGGCCUCUCCUGGAAGGCUGGUAAUUACGGAGAGGGAAUUGAAAGAUUGGCAUUUGAAUUCGAUCAAAGAUGAUCACAAGAAGAAAUUUGAAUCUUCUUCCAGGGAGAACUCUCCUGCUCUUGAAGAUAGAAGUAAUUUGGGUCAAGAAGCCUGUUAGGUGGCGAAGGGUGUUGAACGUGUUUGGUUUCAAGCAAAAGUCCUGUGAAAACAAGUUUGAAAAACCAAUGGGGAUUGUUCACCUGCUCAGGCUUGUGAGAAGCAAGAAAAGGAGGCUGGUGAAGAAAUCAAAGCUGCCACUCAUUGGAAGCUUAUGAGGAGCAGUAGCAUUGUUGGUGCAAGACGUUCUUGUGAGGUGAUCAGGUCAAGUAAUGGUAUGAUGAGUCUUGGUGAUGAUUCUGACUGGGCCAACAGGAGCCGGGAAGAAUUUGUGCUGGGACGAAAUCACAGAGCUACAUAUGCUUCAAGCAAUUUGGAUGAUGGUGUUUUACCAUUUUAUUUGACACCCUUGAGGACUCCAGGAACGGGAAAUCGAGAAGGGACAAGCUGCAAGACUCACAUUUUGUUGAUGGGAGUCUUUUACGGCUCAACUGAAUAUUAAAAUUUCUGAGUGCGCAUUGAGUUAAUACUAUGACUUUGUAAGGAUUACUAGUUGUUUCUCUUCUUGUUUAUGGGUGAUAGCAAGGCAGGACCAGCAUGUUGUAACUCUACUGUUUUUAGGCAGUAUCCAUGACAUAAUAAUACGAGUUACAGCAUUUUUGUGUCUUGGUUUUCCACAUGUUUGUUCCUUUUCAUUGUUGGGCUCUUAUUAUGCCUAAGAAAUAGUGAAAGUUACCAGCAGCAAUAUGUGCUUUGAUGACAUUUGUUAUUGUGUAAGAAUUACUCGGUACUAUAGAUAUCUAAAGUGCUCUUAUCAGCAGCCUCCGAUCCCCAAUUAUGGUGGCGCAAAUUUCCGGAGAAGUGCAGGUUCAGUGGCUUAUUCAGCCCCCUACUAUAUUGCAUCCCCCAUACUAAUGAAAAUUUUGCUUUCGAGGACAAAUUACAAUAGGCAUUUAUACAGAUGGAUUAAAAAAAUGUAGAUCUAGUGGAGGCGCGAGACUCGACUCAAAUAAAGAUUCGCAAUUUGCGCUUCUUGGCACCGGUUCUAAUGAAAAUCCAACUUGUUCUCCCCCAUACUAAUGAAUGAGAGUCAGAUAUAGCUUUCGAAAUUAAGCCUUUAAAAUGGCACAAUCGCCUUUCAGCUGAGACAUCAAAACGCACAACAACAAACAAGUUGAUAGAUAUGAAUGAACUUUACAUGCCUUCAAGAAAACUGAGUUUGGAAAACCUAGUCCUGCUUCAGCUAUUAUACUAUCUACAAACAAAGGAUGAACUCCACACACAAGGGCAUGGGGUGUCAUAAGAUCAGAAAGUUGCUUAUUGCAGCAUCAUCUUCGACCCAUCAGGUAUUUGGUCUUCACAUAUUUGGAAAUACUUGAGGUAACAUGAUUGGCCUGGAGCCGCUUCUAGAUCCCUUGGCAGGAGGAGUCUCUUCCGAUUCAUCAUCUGUGUCAAUCCUUGAAGAGCCCAACCUGGUUUGUUUAGCUAUUCGCCGUAGAAUAUGUACAUUUAAGUGUAAUUUACUAUUGUCUCUCUGCUUUGACAAGGUAAGUACUCAAGGGCGGAAUUGAUUAAACUCUGACCAAAAGAUUUGGCAUGUAUUCUCACAACAUCCUUGAACUUCUUCUGUUCUUCCAAAGUCCAUAACUUGGAAACAUCUUCUCCCAUGCUUCAAAUUUCCAUUGCCAAAAGGCAGGCCCCAGAUCAGAUUGCAGCUGGAUUUUCUUAGCAUUGAUGUGCUGUCUAACGCAUUCAACAGAUCCAGGGGAUACACAUGAACAAGACUUGGGUCUUCCUUUUCCGAUCACAUCUCCAGAGACUUCCAGGCUUCUGCCUUUAGUUGGCCAUACCUUGAUGCUUAACCACUUUGAACUGCGAGAUUUCCUGUGCAUGUUGUGCUGACCAUUCUUGUGUAGGGAAACAGGCAAAGCUGGCAGAUCAGCCUGAAAACGAGGUCCGACUGGAAUUGCGAGUCUGAGACUAUCAUCACAUAUGUACUCUAUCCAACCUUUAGGAACUGGAUCGUUCUCCUUCUGGAUAUGGAGUUCCUUUGAGGGCUUCAUUUCUUCGUCCUUCUGAAGACAAUCAACAAUGAGAAAAAUGCUCCAAAGGGACUGGCAAUCUCAAGUACUUUGUAGGUGUAGGUACACAAGCAAAUAGAUGCAAGAUGCUUGAUACUGCUAAGCACGUUCGUUAGUCUAGAUAAAAUAGGACAAUGCACAAGAUGACUCCAACGAAUUGCUAAUUUGAACUAUAGAAUUCAUGAAAAGAAUUGUGCAAGACUCAGUGCAUUCAUGCAAUAAAAGACACAUCAAGCACCAUCACCUGUCAUUAUUUUUAACCAGUAAAGCAAGGGGAAGGAACCUGUUCAAGAUGGAGAAGAUGAUAUUAGCAAGCGAAUAGCUUCUUCGGAUUGCACGAUUCCACUCUCCCAAUACUGUGUGCUGGGGAGGCUGUAAUGCUAUUGAUUAAAAUUGAUUUUAUGUCAUCGUAGGCCGCUAAAUUGUACAGAAAAGAAAUACUACUAUCAGUUAGCAAAUACUACAUGCAGACAACAGUUUUCAAAAGCACCUCAAAGACACAGAGCUAGCGAUUCAGCAAAAUAGCUUUGCCUUCCACCAAAAGAAGGCGUUGCUUUGCAUAAGCAAUUGAUUUUGGUGACGACAAUUCAUUGCUUCUCCUCCGAAAAAAAAAAGGAGAGAAAAUAGUUCAUUUAUCUUACAACACAAAAUUUCAAGAAGCCCACCAAGCUUGUACUCUGUUUAUGGAUUCCAGCCAAUAAACGGAGGCCAACAAGAUUCUAGCAUGAGAUUGAAAUUAUCUGUUACAAGAAUAUGCGGGGAAAUAAAUAAAAUCAAAUGAAAUAAAAAAAAACCUCCAUUUUGCUGGUAAUUGCCGUUUACGUUUAGAUGGUCGGAGCAAUCUUCAUUGAAAACAAGAGAAGCAAAAAUUUUGCUGAAUCGCUUAAGCUUCAAUCUACCCAUGCAUGAAUUGAAUAACACAUUUCUAGUGUUGCGAAUUCUACACAACUUGAAUUGAAUUCGAGUUAUCCAUUUACCGGUGCACCGGGAAUUAAUAUUCAAGAAAAUUUCUGAUAUAUGAAAUUAAACCCUAACCCUGGAUAUCGGCUAAACAGAGCGUCCGAACCGAUAUUAGAGGAAUUUAGGAUUCAAGAAGGAAUUGUAUUGUUUCAAUGAUUUUUUUUUGGGCUGUCAGACUGCAUAUUUUUUUCAUUUUGUUUUAAACGGAUAAAUAGUAUUUAGCAAAUUUCUUUAUUCUUAGACCAGAAAUAUCCGCAAAUAUUUCAGCUAAAAUCUCUAAAGAAUAUCCAAGGAAGAAAAUUACCAACAAAAAAAUGGUUACUAGGAUUAACUAAUUUUGAGUCAUAGAAAUUAAUUUUUUAAUUUAUAUCCAAAAAAAUUGGGAAUUUUUAUUUGUAAAACUUAAAUUCUUUUGGGAGAGGGAAAUGGAAUGCAAAUUAUGGUAAAAUGAUUGAAAGUAUAUAAAAUACCUAAAAAAAACCAAUAGAUAAGCCUCUUCUAAUGCUUUGAUCUUCUUCGACAAUUUUUAGUAAGAAACAAUUGCCUGUCUUAUGCCUCUGAUUCUUGCUAUUAAAGAUGAUACAACAACAAAUAAAUGAAGACAACUAUAAUGUGAAGGAAAAGGUGACAAAUAGCUUUUGGAGAAAAGGAAAUUGACUAGUAUAGUACUUUUCCAAAGAGUCCCUAUAAAGAAUGGAGUUUGGGAACACACACCUAUAUUGUUAUGGAGAGGUUGAACACUUAAAGAUGCAUGUUGCUCUUCUCAAGCAUAGCCCUUGCAAUAUAACAAAUGAGAGUUGUGGGAAGCUAGUUGACACAAUAUAUAGGUGGCAAGUGAGGACUUGCAUCAUCCCUCAAAGCCAAUCAACUCAAUUCUCAGGCUUUAAUAGUUCAUUUGAAUUACUAAAUGAGAUGGUAGCCCAUUAAAGAAGGGCCUUUAGAUUUACAUAGAUCCGAUCUAGAGACCUACUUAUAGACCGUGUAAUUUAGAGAAAUUCACCUAUAAGAAGUGAUUUAAAAUCACGAUAUUUUAAAUAAUAGAUGCAAAUAUAAAAUUUCUAAAAUCAAGAAGAUGAGCUAUCUUUAGUUUAUGACUGUCGCUUAAAUAGGACUUUCCAAUCGAAUAGCAUAUGGUCACAUGAUGUAUGACAAUGUAAGAAAAGUGAUAGUAAAUAUUAAAGUCUGUCUAAUGGGUGCUUAUAUCACUAAUAUUAUUUUGAAAAUUACAUACAUUAUACAAAUCAAAAUUGUCAUUGGAUAUAGGAUUUUAAAAUCUAUAAAUAAGAUAUCGAUGUAUAUCCCUAAAAUUUUAGGUAAGAGAGAAAAUAAUAGUAGGUUUUGGAGGUUAAGCAAGUAAUAUAAUACAAAAAUCCAAUUGAUUUUUUUUUAUUAUAAAAAGCAGACUUCAUUAACAAAUUAUUGAAAAUCGUCCAGCGUGAUUUGAUCUAUAUCUCUACCCUAAUGGUAGGUUAAACAUAAAAAUUACAAAUCUGCAUUUUAACAAAUGCAAUAGAUCCAAAAAAAUUAUGAACAAAUCUAAAAAAUAAAAGAAAUUUCAAAAUUGUCUCUAACAGAUAAAUCACUGUAGCUCCCUACUAUUAUUCCAAUCACUGGUUUAUUAAUCAAUGAUUUUAAACUCUAAUAAUAUGAUGCGAUCUGUCGAAUUAGAUCCAAAAUUCCAAAAAUAUUUCAGAUUUGACGACCAAAUCUGAAGUAAAUUAAGAUCUAAAAAUAAAAAAAAAGAAAAACACAAAAAUCUCCAUAGUAAUCUAUAGGAGAAUAGAAAAUUCUCACUUAGAAUUUCUAGGAGAAAUAGAAAAGCUUCAUUAAAAAAAAUUCAGGAAAGAGUUUAUUAGAAAAACAAAACAAAACAAAAUGAAAUUCAUGGGAAGGAGACCAUCACGUGAUCUCCCUCCCUAAGGGAAUGUGUUUAAGAGAGGAGGGGAAAUUGGGAAAAGUUGAAGAAGAGGAGAGGUAGAAAGAAAAGGGUUGAUUUCUGAUAAGAUAAACAGGUUUGCAAAAAUCCAAUUGAUGGUUGAGGAUUGUAUAUAAAAUUUCCAAACUAAGAAGAUGGGGGAAGGUUAAGUUGGGUGGUAAAACGGAAAAGAUUGUAAAUAUAAGGUUCUAAAUUUUCCAACAAGAAUUAUUACCAAACAAGAUGCCACUGCUCUUUAAUUUAUCAUUACAUUUCUACUCAGAAGAUUUAUUAGUUAAUGAAAUCAGCAGGCAGCGAAACAAGCAUUAGACACCUUAAGCGAAAUAAAAAAACCGGACACUCAGGUUCUUAUUCCACAUAACAAGUGUAACACACGUUCAUUGUCAAAAACUAACCCAUUGUACUUUUUAUGAUAUGAUGUAUGUGAAAUAAAAAGAUAAUUGAAAAUUGUGUUAAUGAUACAAGUAGGAUAAUAUUUGCAAAUUUUUUUCCAAAUUAUAUUGUCCAAACAAGACUAUCACAUUUAAGCUCCUUUAGAUGUCAGCAAAUGCCUAAGACAGGUAUAUCCGCUCAAUUUCUUUGAGAACUAUGCCCAAGUUUCAAUUGCUUUUCCGUAUCAAAUCUCCAACUACUGUAUAAUUUGAGCAUACUUUGCAAGGGACUAUAUUCUAGGCUCUCCCUUGUAAACAUUUCUACACAUAUUUGACCUGUUACCACUAAGAACGUUCAACUUAACAUGGAGCUGAGCAAUCUGUCCAAAAUAAUUCCACAUUUCUUCUAUGUUUCUCUAUUACAAUUAAAUUUUUAUGUUGAUUGAGAGAUCUCAGAAUCAUACUAUGCUGAGAAAAGUUGUUAACCUUCUUGAUGCAUAAACUAAAGCAGAUAUCUGCUCUAAAAUGAAAUUAUGUAAGAUAUACUGCAAAAGGAUUAAGUAUACAUACUUAUAAGCUUCAUCGACUCUUGCCUGAGCAUCUAUGUAGCUUGGAAAAUCAUAACCAACCAGGAAAUAAUCACCACGACCAUAACCUGAGUUUCCCUCCAAUGACUCGAGGAGUGGGUUGUAAUCAUAGCUUCCAAAUGCUCCAGACCUAAUAAAUUGUUUUGCUUCUUCAAAGCGAGGAUCUGGUUUGAACUGCACAGCAGAUAAAUAUUAAACUAAAAGUUGGUUUCUUCUCGAUAUAUUCUUAACAUGAUCUUAAGGAACCAAAUUAGACGUACCAUGACAUGAUGCUACUAUAGUAUCGUGUCUAAAGAUUCAGAACCAAAGUGAGUUACAUUCAGAGGUAAGCACUGAACGGUAGGAGAAUAUAAUGGAAGAGAUGAUCUUGGAAACCAAUUUUGAAUUGACCAGGAAAAACAGACACUCAGGCAGGACAUGUAUUUCAUGUGCUAGGAUUUUUUUUUUUUUUUUACCAAGAAAAGAAUGAAAAGAUACUUUGUUCUUGAUAGUCAUUAAAUAAUCAGGCUUGGACCCUGUACGUUCAUAUUAGCUGUUCAGACCCUGUGGCCAAUGAAAUGGUCAAGACCUCAUCAUCUUUGUUUCUUUUAUUUUUAUUUUUAUUUUUUCUUGGACCAUUAAUUGCAAAGAGAAACAUUAAGAAUGACAAAAAUUAGCCCAGUGCUUUUCACAACAUAAUGCAAAGAGUUCUUCAUUCUUUAGGACAAAGAUAUUUAGUAAGUUACCAAGCCAUGCAUCAUCAUAUUUACAGACAGAAUAAAGCUUCCCAAUGCACAGAGAGAGAGAGAGAGAGAAUUUUUUAUCCUCAACCGAGGACCUAACAGUACCUGGAAACUGUAAAGCAUUAAUCUGGCUACAAAUAAGGAAGAAUUAGAUACCAGACAGGAAAUUGCUGCAUCAUACCAGUCCAUUCUCUCUUUCUUUGCGCAACCGAGGGACUUCUUCUGCUCUUGCACCAAAAAGGAAAAAAUUCUCUUCACCAAUUUCCUCUCUGAUUUCCACAUUAGCACCAUCUAGUGUUCCUAUAAUGAGGCAUCCAUUCAGUGCAAAUUUCAUGUUGCUUGUCCCACUUGCUUCCAUGCCAGCUGUACUGAUGUGUUGAGAUAAUUCACUUCCUGGGAUAAGCAUCUCUGCCACAGAGACGUUAUAAUUGGGGACAAAAACCACCUGAAACGAAUGGUAAAAGAAGUCAGAUUAGUUGAAGAUGAAGUUUAUAGCAAGCAAAAAAUGGAAACAAAAAAGAAAUAUUAUGUAUAGAGUAAAUCUUGAAUAUUCUUGAGCAACAAGAAGUUAAUUUUUGGGAACCACUCCAUUUCACCAAUACUUCCCAUAAACUUCUACCAUGUUGUAUUUUUCCCUAAGCAUGACAAUCCAGUGCUUUUUCCCCCAUAUUCUGAAUGAUUAAUGAGAAGGUGUAAGUGACAAGAAGCAGCCCUGACAGCCAGAUGCAGCAGUAGCAAUCCACUAGUAUAUUAAAAAAAACCUAAUAGAUUCCAAUCAAGUUCAAAUGACAGUUUUAGCUAUGAAAGUCAACAAGACAUUCAAAUUGUCAAUAGUCAAAGUCUGAAAAAGAAAUUCCAAGCAUUGUUUUACUAUCUUCAGUUCAAUACAUUAAAGCUGAGGCAAUAUCAACUGAUCAAGGUACUCCUAUUUAUUCACGAGUACUUCACUGACAAUGAGUAUGUUUCUCCAAAUUCUUCUUUUAUAUUCUUUUAACAGGUAAGGAGAAUUUUAAGAAGGCAUCCAACCAGAAAGGAACUUCCCUAUAAGAUAUUCUAAAAAUUCAUAAAAGUAGUUAACAGAGUAAAAUUGGAAUAAAGGAAAGUGAUAAUGUGAGAGAUGGUCAAGGCAAGUCACACAAGGCGAAAAGAAUAGGUAGUGGUGAAUGAUUUCAUCUCAACAAUAUUAGGUGCCACAGCUUGAACCAACUGUUGGACUAGAAAUGGUAUAAGAACUACAUAUCCAUGAAAAAAGUCCAACUUAAAGUAAAUCUGCACUGGAGAUGUCUAAUGAACUGUUUUACCUUCAAAUAACUAUUGACUUCAGGAUCGCUGUUCACAACAGCACCAACAUCAUUUACUAGCUUAACAAUUCUUUUGGCAUUUGCGUAUGUUGCAAAUGCUUUUCCCCCAAUCAUGACAGUGCGUGGUGUAACCUUUUGCCGUUCUUCAGGGCUCAUCUCCUGGAAUAGAUCAAUUUCAAGAAAUCAUGGUGUAUACUAACAUGUGAUGCACAUAAAAAGUCAAAAGAUUGCAAUACACUGGAGCCACAAUUCAAUCAUUUCUAGGUUGACUACGAAAUCUCCAUUGGUGUUGGAUCACCAUAUAUACUCUUGAAAGAUAUUUCAUACAGGUAUGAUUCAUUGUUUUGGAAGUGAUGAUACUUCCAGAAGAAAACGAGAAUAGAGUCCAGAAGACAAUGAUAGUUAAUACGUUACGGGUUAGUAUUUUUAACAAUUAUGUAAUAAACAUUGUUAACAUCAUUUUUUCCAUAAUCGGAUGAGAUUCCAAUGAACAAAUAACAAAGAGCCAAUAAGCAAUGAUAACCGUAUGAAAGAUCAACUUAAGGUCUUGAUUUAGAAACCUUCAAUUGCUAAUAAAUGUAUUGCAUAUUGAAACACCUAAGGAGAUUAGGAAGUCUACAAUACCUUUAUUUUCUUGUACCUAUAGACUGUCCCCAAAAUGUUUAGCAGCUGUCUUUUGUAUUCAUGAAUGCGUUUAACUUGUAUGUCAAAAAGGGUAUUAGGAUCAAUGCUGACACUUGUCACUUGCAUUAUGUAUUGCGCUAAACGUUGCUUGUUGGCCAUCUUAGCUGAUUCCCACUCAGCAUACAGUUCUUCAUUGUCAACAAACUAUUUGAAGAGAAGGAAACAAUAUAGAAAAGAGUCAGUAAAAAUGCCACUAUGUCGAAGCAAGGUCUUUAAUAAUAAAUAAUUGCAAGUAAAAAUGCCACCAUGUCAAAGCAAGGUCUUUAAUGGGAGAAAAAAUGCCACUAUGUCAAAGCAAGUUUCUUGACGUACCUGCCGAAGUUUGGUGAGGAGAUCGAGGUUAGUCACCCAUUUAUCAGUUUUUAACCAUUUGGUUAUUAUUUGACUAAGCUCAGGACUACAAAACCGAAGCCACCGGCGAGGAGUAAUCCCAUUAGUCUUGUUUUGGAAUUUGGUAGGCCAUAUAGAGACAUAAUCAGCAAAUAAGUCUGAUUUUAAGAUGUCACUGUGUAGUUGUGCAACACCAUUCACCUGAGAGAUAUGGAAACUAAAGGUGAAAAUCUUCUAGAACAGAAGAAAUGAAAAUUUAAGAGACUUAUAAAAGAGUAUAAAAUAAGUAAAAGCCAUGGAAGCAAAUCAACAAUGAUAGGAGGAGAUGACAGUGACAGACACAGAUUAUUGAUGAAUUCAGAUUAGUUGUUGUCAGGGAAGUAUAGCUCGGAAUUUUACCAAUAAGCUAGUAGUUAAAGUAAACCAGUAAUUAGCGCACACUUUAGGUGUGUGCCUCUUAUCAUAUCAUUGUAAUAAAAUAAAAGACAUAUAGUAGAAGCCGAUGCAUUUCUCAAAUUAUCAUGCUAUCUAACUUCUGUGACCAACUAUAUAGGAGUUAGGUUCACCAAUUAGAGAACACCAUACUGAACUUAAACAUUUACUCUCAUCUUGACGAAAGUCACAAGGAUAGUUAUCAAGCUGAGGGUAAAUUUUGCAAAUCAAAAGUGAUGCCAAAGUCUCUUCCCCCUUUAUAAAGAGUCAGAUUAAAAGCUGAAAACAAAAGAAUAGUUGUUUAAUUAUUCCCUCAGGUAUAUUCGGGCCUUUGACAUUUGGAUAUCACAAGAUAAUCGUUAAAGAUAGGAGAUGUGAUAUCCAUUCCACUUAGACAUGUUUCUUACCAUAUGGGAGGACACCACACACAAGUUAGCCAUUCGUACAACUGGCUUUUGGGGGUUGUGGUCCAAGAUUCGGAUGCUGGAAAGUUUAGUCUCAAGGUCAGGUCUUGUUGACUGCACCGUUGCAAUAAACUGCAAGGAGUUCAAGACUGCAAGUUAUUUCAACAUCAAUCUAACAAGAAAGUAGCAAUAAAUGAAGGUGAGUGAACAGAUUACCCUCUUAUCAAUUUCCUCAAUAAUUUCCAUAAGGCGGGGAAGGAGCUUCCACAUGACUGCCUGUGACCAUUUCUCCAGAGCCUCAGGUAGGACUGUAUGAUUUGUAUAGGCUAUUGUCCUAAAUUAAAAUGGUUUAUAACUCAAAUCUGUGAAUUUUCACAAACAGCUCCUUAAAAAGAACCAGAGAAAACAAGUUCCACAGAGUACUCAAAAAUGAUUUAUGUGUGUGCUCAUAAUCAGAAUGAUGGUAGUGAUUGUCGAAGGUUUUGGUUUAUGAUACACUUUUUAAAAGGUGAAGUUCAAUAUAUUUUAUCUAGUUGUUCAAAUGCUUAUCCAUGAUUGCUGGUUUAGUUUUUGCUUCUUCCUUUAUUUCUUUUGUGGUACAUGUUUGGCUCACUUUGCAGUCGAUAGUUAGCUUCUGAAUUGUCCCUUAAGCUUAUUCAUGAUGACAGAGGCAACUAAGAAACUUGGAUGGAACGAAGACAACUGAAAUAUGCAAAACCACCUUGUAGUAAUAUCCCAAGCAUCAUCCCAUCCAAGUCCUUCCUCAUCCAUUAGUAAUCGCAUUAGCUCUGGAAUUGCAAGAGUAGGAUGUGUGUCAUUAAGUUGCACAGCAACCUUUGUGGGAAAUUCGGACCACUGGAGUACACCCUUUCCCACUUGUCUCUCCCUAAAUCUGAACAUGAUGUCCUGAAACAGGAUGAAAUGAAAUAAGUUCUUCACUAAUCAUAAAAAGAAACUUUGCUUAAAAAGAAACUGUCUCUCCUCAAAAAGAAACUUUGCUUGUUUGUUGCUGAAAGCCUAAAGCAUUUUAUUAGGUAUUCCAGUCUCCUUUACGUGUAAAUAUCACAGAGUUUAGGCAUGUUUACUGAAUAGAGGUUUCACUGAACAUAAAAAACUUAAGGUUUGGAAUCAUCAAUAUCCCAAGGCAAAUAUCCUUUUAACCUUUGACAUGCACCGCUUCUAGACUGAACUGUAUAGGCGCCCACCAUGGAAAGAAAAGGAAAAGAGGAAAAUACACCAAGGAAUAUGGCAAACCUGAAGUGAAGCACUGCAAAGGAAAAACUGUUGCUUAAGUCUUAACAAUUUUCCACUUUCUGUAGCAUCCCCAGGAUAAAGAACAGCACAUAUCUGCAAAUACAUGACGUAAGGAUGCCACAGAGAACCAACCGACAGAACAAAUUAAUAUAUAAACCAACAGAAAGUCUGAGAUUGAAUUUUGGAAGUCGAAUCUGGAUUUCCUUUAAGCGACCAGAUGAUUGGCAAUUAAAGUCUUUGCUUGAUCUGAUAACUAACUUUAUUAAGAGUACAAGGGUAAGCCAACCUGUUGAGCCCUAGCAUGGAGCUGUGCAGCAGAUUCAUACUGCCCAUCAUUGAACUGAAACAAGUUGAAGUCCUCAGCACAGGCUUUGGCUUCCCAAAGGCGAAGACUGUUAGUAUUCUUGGUCUUGUACCCUGGAAUUGGUACAUCAUAGGCAACAGCUUGAAUGACCUCUCCACCAACCCAUUUGCGGCUACAAACCGGACAAAGAAUUAAAAGAAAUGAUAAACCAUAUGAAUAACACUAUGAAUGAGAACGAAAAUCCAAUCUGGAAGUUGUGCUAUUGAACUUUUAGUCAACACAUACAGAAGUUAAAGUUGCACAUACAGAAGUUGCACUUACGAGCCAGUAGGAAGGACCUCAACGUGACCAAAAAAUCUGAUGGGGAAUACAACAUCAUGCCUGACAAUCUCCCAUGGACUAAAUUUCUGCAUAAAUUUGUACCAGAUGAAACCCUAUAGGAGUCCCACGACUAAAGAAUGAGUAUGACAGUAGAAAAAGACAAACCUCCAACCAAUCUUCGGCAAUUUCCUCCUGACCUCCUUUGCUGAUCCGCUGCUUAAAAAGCCCAUAUCUGUACCUCAAACCAUAACCCCAAGCUGGCAAGUUCAAUGUCGCCAUUGAGUCUAGAAAGCACGAAGCAAGUCUUCCUAAGCCACCAUUUCCAAGUGCUGCAUCUUUCUCCUACAAUAUACAAUUUUAAGAAUUGCAUUGGAAAUACAUCAUGCUAGGUUUAAGCCAAUAACAAAAGUUAGAAUGAAAUAGACUUGUAUCAACUUUAGUAUUUAAAGAAUGUUCACUGAUCCAAUUGGAAACGAAAAAUAAUUGUAAGAACACCUAAAUAAAUGGCUAUGCAGCAUUGCACACUGUCAGAUCCCAACUGACGAAGUAAAGAGAAUGUGAAAAGGUUCUUAAAGUGGAACUACCUGCUCAACGAUUUCCUCUAGUUCAUGACCCAAUUUCUUCAAAGCAUCAGAAUAAGCAUCUUGGAUAUCAAGGUUUCCAAUUGCGUUAGUCAAAGCUCGCCCUUGCAGAUACUCCAUGGACAAAUAGUAUGUUUGCUUUGGGUUGACUUUGUGAUAAUGGAGGUACGUAUCAUUCCAUUGCUGUGGGGGUAAACAACAAACAGUAAAAAGAAAAAUUAGAGUGGGUGAAACUUGUGAAAAAAGUACAAAGCAGACUCUAGCAUUAAGAACAUGCACAACAAUUUGCAAGCCACAAAAAGAACACUUUUACCAAGCAAAGCACUUGUAUGAUGAAAUGGAACCAGAUACACCAAGAGAUGAGCUCAAUGCAUGAAGGUGUUCAUUGAGUUUGAAAAUGCAAUUCUUUUCAAGUCAUACACUAGCAAAUGAACUCCGCAAAAAUCUUUCCUUCUAUACAUGACUCCGUAACGAGUGCGGGUAUGUACAUCGCACAGGGCCGGCAAGUCCACUUCAAAGAUGAAUAGACAACGCAAAUCAACCUUGGGCACAUGCCACACAUUCUGGAGAAUAAUCACUGCUAUAUCUACAACAAAUUACAGAGCAGUAUAGCAAAUUUGCCACAAAAAGGAGCAAAAUUGCUUACAAGCUUCCAAAUAGACCGCAUGAGCAAGUACAUGCAUAAGGUAGAUAAUUAACAACAUUGGAUAUGCUAACAAAGCAAAGACGUCACCAUCUUCAGUCGCUAGUCAAAUCCAAACAUACAAUCAACAAAUGAUUCAACAAAGGCAAACCGAAAAAACAAAAUUUACAACGGCAAUUCAAAUUCUAUACCUUGAUCAACCGAUCACGAACACUAUCAGCAGUGGCAUAGAAAGCUUGCUCUGGCUCGAACUUGAAAGGGGAGAAAUGAGGACUGUAUUGAGCAUGAUAGAUGAUAUUGGACGCAAUCUCCGUAGCCUCUCCGGCCAGCGGCUGCGCAACCGCAGGUACUUCCGCUGGAAUUCCUGAUUUUAUGGUUUCAUUACCGCUUGAUGUUGCCGGCACUUCCAUAUCUGGUCCUAUUAUCAGCAGAAACUUCUUCUAUAGACCAAAAAAAAAAAAAAUCAAAAUCCAAACAAUUGAAUCGUACUCCCAGAAUCAAGCCAUAAGAAUGAAAAAUUAACUCCUACUGAGAAGAAAAAUGCAGAAGUGAGAUUCUGAAACACAUUGUCCAUGUGAAUAUUUCGUUAAUUAAUGAAAAAAACUGGUAAAAUAUCAAUAACAUGACAUGAUUACCUAAUCUGUGUUGAGACUUGAGAACGGUGCUACUGCUGAAGAGGAAGCGAAAUAUGAGUGCCUGUUAAGUUUCAAUAAUAUUUGAGUGAAGGUUCGGGAGAUAUUUUGGACAAAGUUCUAAAAAGAGAAUGGGAGAGAUGGUAGGGGUGCGGGCGGGGGAAUAUGCUACUAUCAUGCAACUCAUCAAUUUGGAGAUAUUAAAGGGAAAUCUGACAAACAAACAAAUGGAAAUGCGAAAAAAGUACGGUCUCUUGUUUGUUUUCUAGUUAGGAAAGAAGAGAAAAAAAAUAUCUGGAAAAGUGCUUAUGUGUGCGAGAGAGAAAGAGUGAGUUGCAGUUUGUAUACUUUGCUUGCAUCAUCAUCACCCCCGGCGUCGCAUUCAUGUCAUAUCGCACGGGAAUCGGCGGAGGAGAAGAGAGUGAUUGGACGGCUUCGGCGGCUGAAGAAGUGUGCUGGAGGCAACCGUUUUCUAGUGUUUUCGAGUGUGAAUUUGCUGGGGCUCUAAAUAUCCAACACAGUCUAGUAUAGUACCACUAGUAAACUUAUCAUCUUACAAUUAUGGGUUUGUUGGUACCUUGCUUGAGAUAGCCAGACAACAAAAAAGAACGAGAGAAGAAGAAAGAGAAUAAAAGAGCGGAAUUGAGAUGGGUGAUGGGACAAGGCCACGUGUGGUUCAUGCAUAAAAAGUAAACUGGAAGGCGCUCUUCGCUCGCCUCGAGACUCCACAAUACAACUGGAUUCUCACGCAUUCGUCGUGACACCGGGAGCAAUCUAGAGCCAGACAGCCCCCCCCCCCCCCCCCCCCCCCCCUUUUUUUUGUGAAAAUUACGCUUAUAAGUGAAUUCAAGUUUACUUUUAACCAGUAGGGAUGAUCAUUUUCUCGAAUCUCGCUGUGGAUGUAAAAAAUUUAUGGAUGAAUAAUUUAUAAAAAUAAUCUAUAAUUUCAAGAGGCAUACUUUGAUUCGUAACAAUGACUGAAGUCAAACUCAUUCAAAUUUUUUUUAAAAAAAAAAAUUCAAAUCUCUAAGCAGUCAUGAGUAGUUCUUGAUUUUUUUUCCUUGGAUGAAUAAAAUCUGUAGUAAUCAGUAUCUGGAAUCCCGUAUAGGUCCUGCCAAUCCCUUCUUAUACCCCCCUCGACGACAUUUGCUGAAUGGUGAGUAGCAGCAGCAGUGUGAGCAAUGCUUAUGUCCUUGAAUUCCUUUCUGAUUUGCCACAAUACCUCAGCACAUCUCUUCAUGGAUGGUCUUGCCCGUCUUGAAGGGUCAAGGCAUUGCCGAGCAAGUUUGAGUACCUUUUCAACAGCCUGGUUUGAUGCUGGAUUUCUUCGUAAUCUUGGAUCCAUUACCACCGCAACUUCUCCGUCCUUUAAUUUCCUCAGAGCCUGCAAGCAAACAUCACCAUGAUAUGAUGGUUCUGAAUCGCAUGCAAAUGAUCUACUAUGAAAAUUGCAGAAGCCUAUAAUCAGGCAGAAAGCAGGUUACGUUUGUCCUGAUCUAUGAAUUCACUUACCCAUCUUACGGUUACCCUCUCAUCUGUGCUUUUGUUCGAAUCAAUGGGAUGCCUUCCUGUCAUCAUUUCCACGAGCAAUACGCCAAACGAAUAUACAUCACUUUUUUCAGUGAGUUGGUAUGUCUUGAGGUAUUCAGGAUCCAAGUAGCCAGCUGUUCCUUUAACUUGAGUGGAAAUGUGAGUUGCUGUAGGAUCCUCAGCGGCUAGCCGUGCAAAUCCAAAGUCAGCUACUUUCGCACGGUAUUUUUCCGUGAGCAGUAUGUUUGAUGCUUUAAUAUCUCUAUGGAUAAUUGGAGGCUCUGUAAUUUCAGGUUGAGCCAAAAAAUUAGGAACUGAGUAGUACUUCUAAUAAAGUCUGCAAACGAAGAUAUUAUUGUUUGCUCGCAACGUACAAACUUACCAGUGUAUGUGUGGAGAUAGGUAAUUGCAUGAGCGACAUCAGUUGCAAUGUCUAAACGUUCUGCAGUUUCAAGUCCAUCUCCCCGCGUCCCUGCAUCACAAGGUCGCUGGAUUUCAAUUUUGACACACAACUUUCCCGUGAUCAUUAUGUUUGAUGCUCUGAUGUCUCUAAUAUUCAUGCUAAAAUCGAAGAGCUAACAUAUUUGUGUUGAAAUAAAUGUAUAGGAGGCCUAUUUACAGCCAAGAUCCACGGAUAGAAAUAUAGUGUGAUUCCGGAUUCCUUAUUCAUCUCAAGAUCCCAUGAAGUAACCUGAGCUUUCUCCUUGCCACUUUACCAGUUACUACCUACCCGAGAUUCAAUAUGCAGAUUAGGAGAAAACAAAACUAAGAUUUAUUAUUCAUCAAAGCCUAACACUUGAAGAAAAAAAGGGGAUGAUCACAACAAGCAAUAAUAACAAAUCUAUCAGGACAUAACUUUUCCCCCCCUUAUAGUUGACAAUGCAUGCUAAGUUUUCCCAUAGCAAAGAAGCUCAACAAAAAUCUAUUCCAGAAUCAGCUAAUUAACGUGGAAGUUCGUGUGGACGUUAUUUAUCUCAGAAAGCAAAUGAAUGCCAUUGCAAUUCAAGUGAAAAUAUGGGGUUCGUGUUCGUGCUCUGUUGCUUCACCUACCGUCCAAGUGCUCUCUAAGGGUUCCAUUGCUGACAUAUUCAACGAUGAUUAUGCGCUCGUUUCCAUGCUCCAGGUACCCCAGAAAUCUUACCAAAUUCAGGUGCUCGAUCUUUGAUAAUGUCAAAAUUUCAUUCUUGAACUCUGCUGACAAACGUUGAUCAAAAGAUUCCUGCCAAAAUUUUCGUGUUACAUCGCAAAUUCACAGGAAAUGGCCCCUCAAGAUUUACAUUUGUUGGUGGUUAAUUCUCCUUACCAUUUUAGCGCGCUUUAUGGCGACCAUAAAUCCAUCCCAAAGCUUCGCCUUGUAAACUGUUCCGAAAGCUCCCUCACCAAUUAUAUUUGCUGAAGAAAAAUUGCCAGUUGCCUUCGAUAUCUCAUUAAACGAAGUUUGAAGUGAACCAAUCUGUAUAAUAUUGUCAUUGGAAGACUCGCGAGAGUAGGAGUAUUUUGUUCUUGAUGAAGAUUUACUAGUGCUUCCAGUAGAAUCAUCUAUUGAAUCUGCAGAACGUCAAGAACCAACCCAAAAAAAAAAAAGGUUAAUUCAUGCCACUUCCAUGCAAAAGUGGAUUGACAAUAUAGUGAGAUGUAUCAAAAUCCCGUCAUGUAAUAAGUAUAAGCUUAUCGGUAACCUCAAUAUCAGAAUCUGCUUCUUGAUUUACUUUUGUAUUCUAGUAUAUGCUCAUGCCAGACCAUUGUCCAACUUGGGGGCAAAUGAAGAUACAUAGAUCAAUGCCAAGAUGGCAUGCUGGGAAAGAUUUACUCACCGGACAAUCCUGUAACAGCACGUUUUACUUUGUUGGCUUUAGUUUGAUCAGCGGUGGAGUUGACCUCCCUCUUCCAAAAGAGAAGCGCAGCAAGAACUCCAGCCACUCUCUUGCUGGCAGCUCUGAUGAAGCUGGAUGUAGAUCGAGACUUCUGAUUCGUUGCAGAAGUCUGAUUGCUAAUUGCACUGGUGUGGGAACGGGGACUGGGACUCUCUUUUCUGAUUUGGCACCGACGGAUGAUCAGAGGACUCGGAGUUUUCAUCCUAUGCAGAGACGGAGACCCUUCUGGCAGGACAAUCUUUGACUCAUCAUUCUCUAAAACUUUAACCACUAGCGAUGACACCGUCUUGCUAAAUGCCCUCUAGCCGUAGAUUCAGGACUGAUUCAAACAUUGUGUUAAUUGGUACUCGAAGAUGGAAAGAGUAAAACAGAGACACUGUCAACUGCUGGAUGGAUUACUUGUCUGAAGUAGAAUGUCGAUAAUACGGAAAAUUUUGUCUGAAUAAUAAGUUCAACUUGUUCAGAUCAAUCAUUACUGGUACGCGUGUGUGUGUCUAUAUAUAUUUAUAUGUAUAUAUAUAUAUAUAUAUAUAUAUAGCUGCACAAGAGCUCAAGGUUGUUUUGGUUUUGGCCGUGGCAUGGAGCCAUGACUAGUUUGAUAAUGGUUAGAAAAGAUAGUCAAAAUAGACACGGUAUACAGGAUGCAAAAAAAGAACAAGGUGCAGAAAACCGGUGGCAACAAUCAACUAUUGAACCCUUUUCAUCUUGCUCACACGAGUUUUACUCUCAUUUACACGAGCAACUGGUGUUCAAAUGGUGUAUUAUUUGAAAUAAGGAAUCAUUUCAAAAACCUCUCCUGAGAUUUCUGAUAAUUUCAACUAGCCUUUCUUGAAGUUAGUAAAAUUACACAAACCUCCCCUGAGGUUAAGAUUUUGAUAACAAAAUUAGUCCAAUUAAAAAAAGUAACAUUAAAAAAGUACUUUAAGAAGAGAGAUGAAACUUUUAUUCCAUAAAUACCCCUUAUGCAUGUAUAUAAGUUGUAUUAGUAAAAGGAUGAAAAGAUUUAAAAAUUAGAAACAAUUAAUACGCAUAUCUCACUAUUCAAAAAAUUCACAUUUAAUAAAUUAGACAACACAAAUAAGCAACAAAACUACACUAAUGAAUACAACAUUUAACAAAAACAAACUAGUCAUCUUUUUUGACAUAAUAUUUGUUACGAUUCUUAUGAUCUUUAACAGAAAAUUUUUUCAAAAUUUACCUUUCUUUUCCCUCAUUUCUCCUUUAUGAAUAUCUAAUGAUUAAGUAAUUAGAGUACUAAUUAACUAAUAGUAACUAAUUAGGUGAAAUAACUGUUGAAAAUUUCUUUAAUGAUGAAUGAUGACUUGUAAUUACAAAAUAACAUCAAUUGAUAUACCUUAUGACAUUAUCUUGUGAUUGAUAUAAUUUGACAAUAACUAGAAAUCAGUUGUAUAUAAUGUGAGAAGAAGGAAUUUGGUAGAAGAGAAAAUUGUUCAUGAGGAUAUUUUCUUUAAAACUCUUAAAGUUGUGAUAGUUCUAAAAUAAUUUCAUGGAAGUAAAAGAGAAAUAAGAGGGAAAAAGGCAAAAUUUGAAAAUUUUUCUAUUUAAAAUCACAAGAAUCAUAACAAACAUCAUGUUAAAAGAGAUGAUUAAUCUGUUUUGCUGAAUUUUGUGAUAAUUAGUGUAAUUUUAUUAUUAAUUUGUGAUGUCGAAUUUAUUAAAUGUGUGCUUUUUGAGUGGUAAAAUAUAUUUAUUAAUUAUUUCUAACUUGUAAUUAUUUUUAUUCUUUUAUUAAUACAACUUAUAUACAUACAUAAUAGGUAUUUAUGAAAUAAAAGUUUCAUCUCUCUCCUUAAAAUACUUCUUUAGUGUUAUUUUUUCUAAUUGGACUAAUUUUGUUAUCAAAACCUUAAUCUCAUGGGAGGUUUUGUAUAAUUUUACAAACUUCAGGAGAGACCAGUGAAAUUGUCAAAAACCUCAGGAGAGGUUUCUGAAAUUAUCCCUUGAAAUAAUUUCAGUAACUUUUUGCUAUUUGAUGUAUAUAAAGUAAAAGAGUAGUUGAAAAUAUAAAAAAAAAAAAUUAAAAACAUAUUUAUAAUACAAGUAAAAUAAUAUUUAAAAUAAUUUAUAUAUCCAAAACUCCAAACACACCCCUUGUUUUUGUCAAAAGCCAAAAUUCUAGCACGGCAAUCCCUGUUUAGAAACAAAUAAUUCAAUAAUCAUAGAGGCAGAGUUCGAGCCAGGAAAGGCCAUCCUCCGUCUUCCUCAAUCCGAGAACAAAGAUUCGAAGAAACCAAUACAUUUGCCACCACAUUAGUGUUUAAGCAAAUUGCUUUGUCAGAUUGUUUUACGAAAAUUGAAAUUGCAAAUCCAAAACAUUAGUAGAGAGCCAUCCGAGAUUGUUACAAGUUAGCCAACAUUGGUAAGCGUUUUAAGCAAACAGCGGCACUCUCCAUGCUGAUGGACACUGCAAAAAUACAUUGGAUUUUCCGUACUGCAGGGACCGCUGGAUCAGCAUCCUAUUUAUACAAGGCAAUCAGAAUUUUACAAAUUUGGGACUUUCGUUGGCCAAAAAGUACCUUCCCGGCUUCCCAGUUCCCACAGUACUGCAUCCAAGAAACCAAAAGAACUUGCUAGAUUGAAAACGUUCGUUAAUAUCCUUGACCCUUUCUCGUUUCUAUAAACUACUUUACAAAGAUGAUGCGAGCAAACAGGAAACUAUCAGAAAUACAGACAUCUAAAGAGUUUCAUCAAAAUUGACUCUCCCCCCUGUGGCGAAAAAGUUCCAAAAGAGAGCAGCCGAGAAAUAGAGAAAAGCUGUAAGCAACAAGAAUCCCUUAAAAGAACCCACUAAUUCCACGAAGUAGCCGGCACCAACCGUUCCAACUAUAGCAGCAAAUGUACCAGCAGUAUUUGAUAUACCUAGAGUUUACAGAAGGGACAGAAUUAGGUAAAGAUUUCGAACAAGAAAAUUUCAUGCCUGAUUUUCAUAAAUUAAAGGAAUAAACGAGGUUUGAAGAUAUUAACAGGGAUCUUCUUUUUUAUGUUCAUUGAAGUGUUGAAAGGGGAGGGAGGCUGGCCUUGUAUACUGAGGUUAUACUCCCAUGUAGACAAUAAAUUAGAUAUCGGUAUGUAGAACUAGGAGAUUAAUAGUAGAGGAGAAUAAAGUUGAACGAGUACAAUGCAUAAAACUUUGCAAGAAAAUCAACAGAGUUACCAUGGAGGACGCCUGAAUACUGUGGUGCAAUCUCCUGACAAGGUAAUGGUACAAGAUAUAUCAGGUCUGAUGCAAAAAAACCAACUGAUCAAAUGAUGAAUUUCACGGAAUAUACUAACCUGGAGGUUCACGAGGAAGCCACAAUGACUGAAUGCUUUUAGCCCAACUGCUAAAGUAAGCCAAGCAGAUGCAUUGGAUGGACUUCUUGCCAUUGUUAGACCAACAAGAGCUAUCCCAGGUCCAAUAAAACCAAUUGACUGCAGAGGAAAAAUAAAACUUCAUACAUACUGUAAACUUGUCCCAUCUUGUUCCGUAAGGAAGUAAAAAAGUGAGGUCGAAUGACUAAAUACAAAUCACAUAUUGAACACCAUUAGUGACUAGCUCUAAAGAAGUCUGGUAGAAGUAGAACUGAAUUUAUCACUGAGGCGCAAACAAUAAAACUAAAAAAAAAGUAGAAUUUGAGAAAAAGGGAAGAAAAUAAAAAAGGAAAAGAGCAUAAGACCAGGAACAAUGGUCCAUCAAAACAAAGUUUCCAAUUAACUAGGGUAAAUGAAAUUUGAAAAAUGACUCAGCCAAGAUUUUUGGCUGAGGACAAUAUUCUUUUUAUUUUCUCCCUCGAUUGUUCCAUGUGAUUACUUUUGUACCAGCAAACCCCACAAUAUCAGAGGGACAAAAGACAUACUGAUCAUAUAUAAACAAUCACAUGCAUAGCCUUUAUCCCGACUUAAAUUCAAACUUUUUUUUUUUAAAUUUUCCCAAACUUAAAUUCAAAAUCUAGUAAAUCUGUUUCUUUAUAAAUAGCAUUUCCCAUAUACAAAUUACAUAAUUGCAAAGGCCAUUACUAGAGACAUCCUAAACUCAUUUCUCUACUGUCCACGUGAAAAUUCAUUGGAGUCUAUAAAAUGACUGUCAUACAUUUUGGUGAUAAAGAAAGGGAAAGAAAGAUAAAAGACAUGUCUUGGAACUUACAAGGACAAAGAGUAAAUCGAGUUAGUUAUUUCAACAAUAUAUAUAGCCAAUUGGAAAUUGAUAAAAUUGCCAUACUUGCAUGAUUUUGCGGGUUAAUGUCACACUUAUGCCUCUCUGAAUCAUCAUGUCUGACAAGACACCAGCAAAGUAACCUGCCACGGCCAUCAUGCUCCAAGGAACAGCACUAAACCAUGCUGCUUGUCUUAAAUCAACAUGAUAUAUCUACAAGUAAAAGAGAAACUUUUGAUUUCCUAUCUUCAGAUGCAUAAUGUUAUUUAUCGCAUGUCAUGUACAGACAUAGUUUUUUACCGUCUUGAAAUAAAUGGGCAUCCAUGAAAGUAUAACGAAAAAUCCCUGCAUGAGGUAAAAAAAAAAAAGGUAAAUGAUUUCGUAAAGGACACAGACUACAGACUAUAGAGCAGGCGAAGAAUGUCUUUUCCACCAAAAUGCACCUAUAAACAGCCCAUAAAGAUAUGUGACAAUAGUGGAACACAAAUUCAUCUCUCCAAUUUCAAAGUUCGGACUAACCUUCUCUCAAUUUUCUAAAAGACCCAAUAAUCUCACAACUUGCUCCGAAAAUCUUCAGAACUUAAAACAAUGCUUUCUAAUUAUCAAAUAACCAAUUUCCCAAUUAAAGAGUAUCAUUUGAUCUCUCAAAGAACACCUUGUUCUCCUACCCAGUACCAUCAAAGUGGUAACUUUUAAUUCAAUUAUGAGACACACACAAAAUCACCUUUUUGUUUAACCAAUUUUCAGGAUUAACCAAUCAAAGAUACUAGUUCAAAGACAACAGAAAGUUGAUGCAGUGCAUAAAUUACCCAGCUGUGCAUUGCAUUUGCAACAAUCAGAGUCCAUGUUGGUAGCUUAGAAAGCAAGCGCUUAAAUGGAGGGAUAACUUUGCUUUUCUUUGAUUUAUCCUUUAUGACAGAUUGCAUGUUCCCGUCAUUCUGUAUGUACUGCAACUCAUAUGCUGAUAUUUGAUGGCAUUUGUCCGGGGUGCUUGAGGUUGCAGAUAUCCAGACCAAAACCCAGAGAAACCCAGACAAUCCAAAUAUAACAAAUGGACCAUACAAACCACCCUGAGACAUGAGAAUGGGAGAAAGUGUGAGUCCAAUAGCACUUCCAAGCUGGAAUCCCGCCAUUGCAAGUCCAACAGCUCUUGAUCGUUCUGUUUGAGGAAACCAUCUAAAAUCAAAGGUUCAGAGAUACCCUUAGCAGUUUGGACAUGCCAAAUCUUCAACACAAUAAACUUGACAAAGAAUAUAUCAUGUAAAUCAUGAUAAUUAUGGAUUCAAUUUCAUAAAUUGCAUACCUUGCAAUCAUGUUGUUCAUGCAUGGAAGAGCUACCCCUUCUGCAAUGCCAAGCAACAUCCUCAUAGCAAGAAGUGCGCACAAGGAAUUUUCUGCAGCCCAGGGGGUGAGAAAGGUGGCUAAUGACCAUAAAGUGACACCCCAAGCCAUGACAACUUUGCCCCCGUAAAGGUCCACCAAAGUUCCUCCAGCUAUUGGCGAUAUUAGGUAUCCCCAGAGAAAAGAUGACUGCCAUUAGUAAGUAAAUUAAUGAGAUAGCCUAUAAUGUUUAGAAGCUGUUUUUAAAACAGAUCUUGAGCCACUCACUGUACUCCUUUUUGUCAAAGAACAAGGUUUCUUUACCAAUGUGAUUGAAUUUCACUCCUAAGUGGGUCCAACUGUCCUUUUAUUCUCCAUUUAACAGUUAGAUGAUCACUUCAAAAGAUCCUACAGAAAUGUAAUGCUCACGUUCUCAAGCAAGACAGGGAAACAAACAAAUGGCACUUGACAUCCUGUUUCCAGCAUUCAAAUAUAUGCCAUUGAAAACUUAAUAAUCUAUCUCUAUAUGCGCAUUUAAAUUCAGCAGGAGAAUUUGUAUACAAGUGGUAUGGACAGAUAUCCAUUGGUUUUAUUCUUUAAGAAACAAAAGGAUCCAAAAGCUUGAGUCACAAGAACAAGAACCACAACAUGACAAAGACAGGUUAUUUAGGCAAAUAGACAAAAGUAAAUGCUGAUAUCUCUUGAACUCCUGGAAAACAUUACUGGGAUUUAGAAAAACCAACAGACACAAAAUGCUGCAAGAAUUUUCACCUUAAAAAUGAAAUACUAUCUUCAAGGUGAAGAACUCCAAUCAUAUGCAAAUAUGACUUACAAAUCAGCUUGUAUGUUCUGAUGUAAAGUCAAUUCCAGUAAAUAUGAAACACUAAUCACAGUCUGCUUUUUUUACGUCAAAUCCUCUUGUUCUCGAGUAAAUAGCAAAACAGCAAAAAGGUAGAAUGACUUGAGCACAAUCGCCAGAAAUACAAAGAUUGCUACCUUCCACGCAAAAUAAAUGUUGUUUUUUAUUUUUAUUAUUAUUCUCUUAUGUGGCCUUUUUCUGUUUAUAGUUCAUAACAUCAUCAUAUAGUUGACCUUUGUAUUCAAAGGCAUUCUCUAGGACAAAUAUCCAGAAUAAAUUUUCUAUAAUAGUAAGACCAACAUAUCCCGCAUGCAAACGCUCUCAAAUUCCAAGAGCUAAUAUUCAAAAAUGCUGGAUCACAUACUCAGCAGUUAGGCUAAAUGAACCCUUUUCUACCAUUCCGCUUUAUUUAAGGUUCAUACUUUCUUUCGAAUUCCAAGAGUUAAUCUUCAAAAAGGCCAAAUCACAUACUUUGGGAUUAGGCCAAAUGAACCUUUUCUUCCAUUCCGGCUUUAUUCAAGGCUCAUACUUUCUCCAAGUUCAAAAGAAUAAAUACAUUUCUUCAAGAAACAUUGACAUUUUUAUUCCAGUUGUGGGUUGAGAUGAAUAGGCAGGAAAACAUCACCCCAUUUCAUGUUGAACAGUUAUUUAGAAAUGUUAGGAAACACCACAACAGUAAUCCAAAGCUAAGUCAGGAAAAUAAAACAACGAUAUAGCAGUCAUAAUUUUUUUUAAAAAAAAUUACCUGGACAACCCCGGCGAAAGAUUGACGCCAGCCAUGAGAAAGCGAGAGGGGAACGAUAGCGACCGACAUGACGACUCGGUCAGCAUUACAAAGUGCCAAAGCUAAAGCCAGCAUAGCCACCACCUUGACUCUCUCGGAAGUAAUAAACUCCACCGCAGUCGGCUGACGGAAUUCGCCUCCGCUGCUACUGGAAAUCGACCUAGAACCAUUCGACGAAGAAGCCCUAAUCGGUAGAAUCCGUUCACUUCGAAGUCUAGAAGAAAAUUCAGUUGCACAAGCAGUGCUGGUUUUACUCCACCAAUUACGAUGGUUCAAUUUACAGGGAAGCUUAGAAGCACUAGAAUUAGUUAAUGGCAGUUGCCUUUCCGAAGGUUUAGGGGUUUGAGGGCUCUUAAUCGGGGUUGGGCUGCUGACGGGAAGCGGGCGGCGGAGAGCAGCCGGAGAAUUCAUUCUGCAAUUGGGUCCAAGUCAGCAAUUUAUACGAAAUCCAUUCCCUGAGUUGGGCGACAUACUCGGUGUUGAACUAAAUUCGAGUAAUCUAUCAAGUGAACACUAGUGAUCAGGAACAUAGGCUGCCGCCUGAAAUACUACUCCUUAAUACUGGAACCUAAAGUCGAAAUAGCACAACAGUUCUGCUACUCCUACGUAGCGACGAAAAUGCCGUGGUGUUCUUCUUGGCAGUUUAUUAAUGGCUAAGCUAAAGACCAUAGCAGGAAUCUUAUAAAGUUUUGGCUUUAGAUAAAUCGAGCAGAGAAGGAACCUGUAGACUAGUAAAUAAGGAUGAGACUAGCUCAUUGGCACGAGUCUGAUGUUUAUCUUCUGGGCUUGAAAGUUGGUACUGCUACUAUUAUUGUUGAUGCGUUCGGUUCGCAUUGUCGAAUCUAAUAAUAGAGUGUGAUUCACCUUACAUGUUUGGUUUAAGGGUUCGUUUGGGAGUGGAUGAUUUGGAGAGAAAAGAAAGGGAAAGAAGAGAAAGUGAACAUUUCCUUCGUUUGUUAGUUUUAACUAGGAAAGAAAAGAAGAGAAAUGGAAGGAUUCAAGAAGAUAAAUAGUAAGUAAAAUUUUUCCUCCCAAAUUGGAGAGAAAGUUGGAGAAAGCUUAUGAGAGUUUUUUAAAAUACCUAUUUUAUCCUUAAAAAUGUCUUGAACAAAUAUUUAAUGACUUUUAUAUCCAAAAUCAUUCCACUAAUUCUCAAAACUCCCAAACAACAUAACAAUCCCUUCUCUUCUCUCAUAACUUAAGUUUUCCUUUCUUCUCUUUUCUAUCCUAAACUCCCAAACUUAGCAAGAGUAAAUAGAUUCUAUUUUUAUUAACAAAAAAUUAAUUUGAAACCCGAUCUAUGAGACGGGAAUGAUUCCGCACGUCAAUCAAAUAAAUUAUAGGUGCAGUUAUAUCAUUAUUAACUUUGAUGCGUAUUCCUGUCCCUUGAACUAAAUUUCCAAACAUUUUUUGUUAACUUUGGACAAAGGAUUAGCUUUGAAGGAAUAGGAAGGUACGGAGAGGAAAGAAAAAGAAAUGAAAUGGAUGAAUAAAGUUUUUGAUGUUUGGAUUAAUCUUUUGAGAGGGAAAGAAAAGAAUAGGGAGAGAUGAGAUCUCCUUAAUUUUUGUCGCCCAACUUUCUGCUUCCUUUUCUUUUCCACUAAAGUCCUCUCACUUUUCCUUCCUUCCCUCCCCUUCAAUUCAAAUGGUGCCUAAUGCACUCUGUCUUUCUUUUCUUUUAUCUUUUGUAUUUUGCAAAGAUGUCAGGGAACAAUUUUAGAAUGUACUAAAUAAUUGAAAGAAAGCAAGAAAGUCGUAAAACUCAAGUAUUAAAAUUUUAAUUUCAUGCAUUAAACUAAUAAGUAACAGGAAGUAAAGAUUAUGAUUCCUAUUAAAAAUAUUUUAUUCAAUGAAAAUUAUACAUUCAUCAUACAAAAUAACUUCAACACAAAGGCAUUUAAUACGAGAUUGGGAGAGUAUAUUACUAGACUUUGAUGUUCUACUUGUAGCCAGCAAUCAGAGCAGGUAGUGCAAGAUUAAAAGUUGCUAGCUUCGUAGCACCUAUUACUUGAUACAUAUGGCCAUCUAGAUCAAUCACCGGGGUCGGCGCAAUAGCCAUGAGAGCUCUCAGAGUUCUCUUGGCUGUCAAGUUCAAAAUUCCACACACUUGAGAUUGAGAAGAAUGUUUGAGAAGAAUGUGAGAAGGGGUGGGAGGUCAAAAAGGAUAUAUAAUAAUAAUAAUAAUAAUUCCAGCUUGAGCUUCUUAUUCCAGUUGUAGCAAAAUUUUGCUAAAACCAUGACUCGUUUGUUGCACUGUUAUCAUGAUCACAUCCAAUUAUUUUCAGAAUCCGAUCCAGUGCCUUGUCAAAUUACUCUGUAAUGACAAAUUUCAAGAUACAAGUGCAAUCAUCUCUUUGGUAAGAUAAACAAUUCGUCAUCAGCUGCUCUAUCUGACUCUGGAUGAUUAUACCAACCACUAAUCCAGUUCCAACAUUAAAGCAGAAGCAGUUAGCAGACGAAUAACUACUUCCUUUCCCCGUGUUUCAAAUAGUGCAGAGACCAUUGAACCCCUUCCCCUUCUGUAGAGUCAGCGGCAUUAAGUUCGGAAAACUUCCGAACAAAUUACAGCUCGUUCCAUUCAAUGUGCAGAAGAGCUUCGGUAGAAUGGGAACUCUCCAGGCAUCGAAGCAAACAAUUAAUCCUGGAAAAUCUUAGUGAUCUCAAAGUCUAUCUGUAUGUCCAGCUAGAAUUCACUCCAGACUUCCCAUUUGUCUGGUAUCUCGUUCCAGAAGAAUAUCUUCCAGUUCCAUCUACAGAAAUAGAAAAAGCCGCUACCCCAUGACCUACUAAUUUGAGAAGGUAGCAAAAGGUUCAGCUUUUCACCGUAUGUCCAUACUGUCCCUGGCUAUAAUCCUACAAUGUGAAGCUGAAGUUAUGAAACCAUAAUUUUCUCCAAAUAUCAAACCGUAGAUUCUAUGAUACAUAAUGACAUAGAAAAUCAACAGCCACAGUUGAUACCUGCAGGAGACAAUCUUCAGGCAACCUAUGAAACCCUAGGGAGCCUCAUGGCAUGUUUUUUCUGGUGGCAAACUUACACUCUGUUGGUGCAAUUGUCACAAUCGGAAUAUAUUCAGCCAACAUCACUGCUGAAAAUUAAGAAUGAAGCAUCAAAAGAUUUCAGUCAACCGUGAACCCACUUCGACUUAAUUAUAUCAGAAAUUACCGCCCAAGUGUGCUGUCUUACUAACCAAACAACCGCAGUCUAUGUCACAAACUCCAUUAGACAGGCUGAUACAACAGAAGUAUACAUCUUACACUGGUUGCAAUCACUCUACAAAGCCACUAUCCUUCACAGUUGAUGCUUUGGGAGAAAAGUUCAUCACCAAUUACCUAUUUUUUUUCCAGCAAUCUGACUCUCCAAGUACAGGAAUACAAAGCUCGGUGUCUGUUGCAGACAUCCUUCUCAGGAUUCCACAAUUACUUCUGCCUUUGUACACUGUUCCUGUGGUUACUGUUGUCACUUGCAGCUCAUUGUUUUUAGCUGACAGUGUACUCUAGAUACUGCUAAUUUAAUUCCAAUGUAUGAAGAUUAAAUUAAUUUUACUUGAUGUGCAAUACCACCAAGUGACCAUUUGAAAGAUUAGAUUUCUUGUGCUAUCCACAGGUCAGGUAUGUGAGCUCACCAAUUAAACAGAGUUAAUAACAAUAGAUGAAUUUGGCAUUGUUUCUUCUGCUCUGAAGUUUGACCAUGCAUCAAACACAAUAACACAUACAGCAGAUUCAAAAUUCAAGUAUAUUUAACAACUAGAUGCAAACUUGUAGGAAGAUCUGUACAUAAGCACAAAAGGCAACUAAAACUUAAAAGAUUUAAAUCUCCACCAGUUUCUUUCAAAUUUCAAAAUGAACGCUUAUUGCUAACAUGCAAUUAUAAAUUUCAUUAUCUAAGUAGAAACAUGUCCCUGAUGUCAAAAUAAAAGUUUCUGCAUGUAUUACAUACAUCCAGUGAUCAUAACAUCACAUUUUGCUUGCAUGUUUACCAAACAGUGAAUGUCGGCCUUCGGCAAUAAGCUCUCCUGUUAAUUUGUUCCUCACGAUCACAAGCGUUCCAGAAUAACCACCUUUUCGACCUAAAAGUGUCGAGACAAUCUCCAAUUCAUCCUGAGAAAGUAAGAUAUUCAACUAAUCAAGUUAAAAACCAACAUUUGCCAAUCAAACAAUUUCACUUUUAGCCAAUAUGUGACGCACAAAACCGAUUAGCCCCUGAUCUGGUAAUAACAAGAAUACCCUCUCUUUUUUUCCCAAUUUGCAAUAAAAAUACCAAUAUAUUGGAUCGAUAGCCCUUAUCGAGUUAUCAAACAAUCCUGCUUAAUAACGAAGAGAUUUAUUAACGCACAAAUGAAAGUAUUAUUAACUAAAACCAGAAUAUCUGGAUUACUCGUUCAUUAACAUGAACAUUAGAUAUUCCAACAUGGAAAUUGAAAUCAUUUGAGGAGGGCUUACAUCAAGUUUGGCAGUUGAGAGGUAAGAAAUGGACAUAUCCACUGAAACAUUCAUGGGGAGUCCUUCCACGUGGACCAAAGCACCACCCAUUUCAUCCACUAGGUUGGCCACCGCCCCUGAUGCCAAAUUUCCAUUCCUAUCCUGAACGAAGACCCACAAAAAUAAAUAAAUAAAAUGACUGAAAAAGGUUCACAAAUUUUAGUCAAAAUUCAAAUAGAAAAUAAAAUACCUACAUAAUCAGUUGAAACUACUCAAAGAACUCAGCUGUAAUUUUGCUAAUAUCUCAAAAUACAGGGAACUUUACUUACGAUGAGGCGAGAAGGGACUUUGAAAGUGCAAGAAACGUAGCCAGCUUCGACUCGGUCGACUCGGAUACCGCGAAGGGCGUAAUACUCGUAGAAGCUAGAAUCGAGAUGGGGUCGGUGAGGAGGGAAGGUGAGUUGGGAUACGCGGUCGGACUCUUCCUUGGCUAGCUGAAGAGAUUCCCUGGCGUUCUCCAUUUUGGGUCCUAUCUGAGCUCUGGCAGGAGUAUGGCAUACGAGUCCAUGAUUGUCUUCAAUAUAACGCAAUCACCCGAUUUGCUAGUCAAGGCCGUCCGAAGGCGCCGUUUGGAUUGAGGAAAAUAAAACGAAAUGAAGGGAAUGGGCAUCAGUGGGAAAAAAAAAAGGGUACAGGAAAGCCGUUUCUGGCUAAUAAAUGAAAGAAAUUGUAAAGUUUUUGCUUAGAUUAAGGAAGAAACGAAAAGAAAGAAAAACAUCAACUGUUACCGAACACAAAACUAUAUCCCAACAAAAUAAUUAGACUAUUUCCCUCCUCAGAAAUCAACAUAAAUUAAAAAAAAGAAAAGAAAAAACUAAUCCCCUCCAAUUCCUUUCGUUUUCUUUCCCUCCCAUUACCUCAAUCGAGAUUAUGCCAAAGUUUACAAGGUUUCUAGAAUUAUAAAAAACGAUGUUAUAAAAACAGAUUGACGGAUUGCAUCCUUCACGUGGUGUAUUGCUAAUUAAUCAUUUAAUAGUGAUUAGUCGUUGACAGACUAUUGAUAUUAGUAAUGUAUAUUGAACAUCUAAAAUUUUCCCUCUUAUUCAAUAUUUUUAUUUAUUAUUGGAUUAACUUUUUAUGUACUGACGGUUUAGUAAAAUUUUUUUUACACCAACGAAUAUGAAUGUAUAUCAUAUGUGCAUUAUUUGAAUUUUAAAAUUGAAUUCAUUAGCAUUUGACAUGUUUAAACCUACUAGUGUAAAAAAAAAAAUUGUACACCGAUAAUAUACGAAAAACUUUUACUCUUUUAUAUUUUUCCGAUUUGUUGGUUUUUCGACAUUAGUUGACCCUAUCAUUGGACAACACAGUUUCUACGUUGUCUCUCCCACUCUUCUCUUUUCAUCCCCAAAUAUCUUAUCCAUUUUUUUCCCAUUCAACCGCUUAGCCAAGUAAUUAAAAGUGCCAAUUUUCUAUGGGUCUGUCAAACAAGGGAGUAGGCAUUGGUUAAGAGAGAAUUUAUUUGUUGAUAUUUUAAUGUAACAUAAUAAUUAUUAGUAUGUGUAUUUAUAUAUGAUAAAUUAAAUAUAAUUUAAGUGUACUAACAAAUGCUACAUUAGAAAAAUCCGUCUUUUAUUUCUUUCCCUCUCUAGUGUUGUUAAGGUUGGUGUAAAUAAUAUAAUGGAUGGGAUGAAUAUCUGUGGUUUUUUUCCUAAGAAAAAAGCCAAUAUUAUUGGCAUCAAUAUUCCCCCUCCAACUCUUGACCGGUUUUAAAGUAGUACUACUUCUUUACCCAUAAAUUCUAGCUAAAGCUAUCUUCCCACAUUUCGUUGAUGUGGACCAAAGGUUAAGUUGUCCUUAAUAUCAAAUAUUAAUUAAAAGGAUUAAAAGAGGGAAGGUAGAGACAGGUGAGUUGUUGGGUGGUAUGCUGAGAACAUUAAUUACUCGUUGCGAAAUGUUAGCCAAGCAAUAAAUCAAGGAGAAGUUUCUGUUUCCCAAAAAGAAAAGGAAAACAUUAGUAAGACUAAACAGAGAUGAAUGUUAUUUGCACUCUAUUUUUUGUUAUUUGCAUUCUCAUAAUUUGUUUUAUAAUAUAGUUUAAUAAAUGAAAACUAUAUGAUAAAAAUAAUAGUGUAAAUGUGAUUAUCAAAAAUAAAUCAAGGGAAUUGAUGUUUCGAACUCCCUAUUUAGUUUCUUGCACUCCAAAUCACUCACUAAAAAUAGUCUUUAAAGAGUGCUAGAGGCUAAUUAAGAAGUGCAAAUAUUACUUUUCUAAAUCAAAGGUAUGUACUAUUUAAAAUGUAGUUUAGGUGUUAAAAUUUUGAAAAAAUAAAAUUAAUUAGAAUUAUGCACAAAAUGCAAGAGAGGAUGAUGAUUAUCGAUGCUUAUUCGCAUAAUUUGUUAAGUGUGAUUUAAAUGUAUUACUCCCUCCGUCCCACUUUGAUAGUCCUGUGUUCCUUUUUCAUCUGUUCUAAAUUGUAGUCAACUUUCCAAUUGAAGAAUGUAGUUGUAUUUUAAUUUUCCUAAAAUACCCUUAUUCAAUGUAAGUUGUCGUUACUAUAAACCUACCACAUUUAAUGAGAGUUGACUCUUUUUUUACCAUCAAUUCAAGUUCUCAUAAAAUUGUACUCUAUUUAAUGUGAUGAUAUUUUAGGAAAAUAGCAAUCUAAAUUUACUUUUCCAACAAAGUUAACUACUUUUUCUUAAAUUGUGUGAAAAAAGAAACAAGACUAUUAAAGUGGGACGGAGAGAGUAAUUAGUAUUCAAUAAACACUCAUUAGAAAAAUCUAUAAAAUCAAUACUUAAAAAAAAAAAAAAAAAAAUCAGUGUGCAAAUCCCAAGCCCCAAAGGCAGCACAAGGGAACCCCGGAUUGAGUGAGUGAGGGUUUAUCGAAGGAAAGGCCCAGCGUCUGUCUGUUCACACUUAGUCAUCCAUUCGUCUUCGGAUACCUUGUCUUGCAACUCUGCCAUUCUCGUUUUCUGCACUGUUACUUAUCACAGUACCACUACUGUCACCACACCUCUUAAUCUUGUUUUCUUCCAUACUUCUUCACACCAUUUCCGCCCCUGUUUGCAGCUCCACCUUCUAAAAAAUGAACCCAUUUCGGAUCACCCAUUUCCAAAUCCAAUGACUCGUAAUAAACCCGAAUUUCAAGCCCAUCCACCUCGUACCCGCCGCCUUUCCUCAUGUCACCUCCACCCGGCUGAUCCGGCCACCGGCAUUUGCGCUUCUUGCUUACGCGAGCGCCUCUGCGGCCUCGACUCUUCCGCUGACCUCCUCGAACCCUCUUUUUCUGCUGCAGUCAUCCCGUCUCUCGGCAAUGGCGACCUCGCCGGAGCUGGACCAGUUAAUUGCCUGAACAAAGCUGCAGCCGCCACGUCGUCUCCGGAGUUGCGCCGUUGUAGGUCUGUUUUUACUGCUAAAUGCGAAGCUUCCACCAGCUUCGCCGAGCCCAGGCGCAGGUCCUGCGACGUUAGGGCUCGAAACGUGAAAAGUCUGGCCCAUCUGUUUGAUGUGGACGAUGAAUGUAGUAAUGGAUCUAACAGGGAGUCCAAGGUUGAAUCCAAGAAUAUUACCACGGCUGCUGCUGCUGAGUUCGGAGAAGAAAUUAAAGUAGAAAAUGCAGGAGGAAACAGGGAUCCCCAUGUUGCAUUCAAUGGGGACGAGGAGGAGGAGAAGGAGGAUGAUUUGGAAGAAGGAGAGGUCAAGACGAUGAAAGAACACAUAGAUCUAGAACUGCAGAGCAAGGGCCAGAGGUCGAAAGAUUUUAAGGAAUUAGCUGGAAAUAUAAGGGAGGCAGCUUCUGUUUUCAGCAAGAAAUUGCAAAAAUGGAAGCAGAAGCAGAAGAAAAAGGUUCUUUAUAGCAAUGAUGGAGGCACUGUUGAUGGGAUUAAUUGUGAAGUAAAUGGUCCAAAAGGGAAGAAAUUGGAGGAAACUCAGUCUGUGGCUGCGGAUUAUGCAAUGGGCAGGAGAUCUUGUGAUACAGAGCCUAGGUUUUCUGUUGAUGCUGGGAGAUUGUCUGUGGAGGGCGGGCGCUUUUCGAUUGAUGAGCCGAGAGCUUCUUGGGAUGGGUAUUUGAUCGCUAGGACUAUUCCCAGGCUUGCUCCGAUGUUGUCAGUUGUGGACAAUGCGAUUUUAAGUGGCGGAAAUAGGAUUGAUCAUCAUAGAGUAUCUGUUGACGGGCAAAUGCAUUCGAUAAUGGAAGAUGAGACCAGUUCUGGAGGGUCAGCUCAGUCUAAUUCGGAUUCCUCGUCUUCUCAAAGGCGAAGUAGUUUUGAUAGGUCAAGCUCUGUUAGGAGUUUUGGGAAGAAGAUGGCGGUAUUGGAUGGGGAUUAUGCGAAGGCCUCUCCUGGAAGGCUGGUAAUUACGGAGAGGGAAUUGAAAGAUUGGCAUUUGAAUUCGAUCAAAGAUGAUCACAAGAAGAAAUUUGAAUCUUCUUCCAGGGAGAACUCUCCUGCUCUUGAAGAUAGAAGUAAUUUGGGGUCAAAGAAGCCUGUUAGGUGGCGAAGGGUGUUGAACGUGUUUGGUUUCAAGCAAAAGUCCUGUGAAAACAAGUUUGAAAAACCAAUGGGGGAUUGUUCACCUGCUCAGGCUUGUGAGAAGCAAGAAAAGGAGGCUGGUGAAGAAAUCAAAGCUGCCACUCAUUGGAAGCUUAUGAGGAGCAGUAGCAUUGUUGGUGCAAGACGUUCUUGUGAGGUGAUCAGGUCAAGUAAUGGUAUGAUGAGUCUUGGUGAUGAUUCUGACUGGGCCAACAGGAGCCGGGAAGAAUUUGUGCUGGGACGAAAUCACCGAGCUACAUAUGCUUCAAGCAAUUUGGAUGAUGGUGUUUUACCAUUUUAUUUGACACCCUUGAGGACUUCCAGGAACGGGAAAUCGAGAAGGGACAAGCUGCAAGACUCACAUUUUGUUGAUGGGAGUCUUUUACGGCUCAACUGAAUAUUAAAAUUUCUGAGUGCGCAUUGAGUUAAUACUAUGACUUUGUAAGGAUUACUAGUUGUUUCUCUUCUUGUUUAUGGGUGAUAGCAAGGCAGGACCAGCAUGUUGUAACUCUACUGUUUUUAGGCAGUAUCCAUGACAUAAUAAUACGAGUUACAGCAUUUUUGUGUCUUGGUUUUCCACAUGUUUGUUCCUUUUCAUUGUUGGGCUCUUAUUAUGCCUAAGAAAUAGUGAAAGUUACCAGCAGCAAUAUGUGCUUUGAUGACAUUUGUUAUUGUGUAAGAAUUACUCGGUACUAUAGAUAUCUAAAGUGCUCUUAUCAGCAGCCUCCGAUCCCCAAUUAUGGUGGCGCAAAUUUCCGGAGAAGUGCAGGUUCAGUGGCUUAUUCAGCCCCCUACUAUAUUGCAUCCCCCAUACUAAUGAAAAUUUUGCUUUCGAGGACAAAUUACAAUAGGCAUUUAUACAGAUGGAUUAAAAAAAUGUAGAUCUAGUGGAGGCGCGAGACUCGACUCAAAUAAAGAUUCGCAAUUUGCGCUUCUUGGCACCGGUUCUAAUGAAAAUCCAACUUGUUCUCCCCCAUACUAAUGAAUGAGAGUCAGAUAUAGCUUUCGAAAUUAAGCCUUUAAAAUGGCACAAUCGCCUUUCAGCUGAGACAUCAAAACGCACAACAACAAACAAGUUGAUAGAUAUGAAUGAACUUUACAUGCCUUCAAGAAAACUGAGUUUGGAAAACCUAGUCCUGCUUCAGCUAUUAUACUAUCUACAAACAAAGGAUGAACUCCACACACAAGGGCAUGGGGUGUCAUAAGAUCAGAAAGUUGCUUAUUGCAGCAUCAUCUUCGACCCAUCAGGUAUUUGGUCUUCACAUAUUUGGAAAUACUUGAGGUAACAUGAUUGGCCUGGAGCCGCUUUCUAGAUCCCUUGGCAGGAGGAGUCUCUUCCGAUUCAUCAUCUGUGUCAAUCCUUGAAGAGCCCAACCUGGUUUGUUUAGCUAUUCGCCGUAGAAUAUGUACAUUUAAGUAGUAAUUUACUAUUGUCUCUCUGCUUUGACAAGGUAAGUACUCAAGGGCGGAAUUGAUUAAACUCUGACCAAAAGAUUUGGCAUGUAUUCUCACAACAUCCUUGAACUUCUUCUGUUCUUCCAAAGUCCAUAACUUGGAAACAUCUUCUCCCAUGCUUUCAAAUUUCCAUUGCCAAAAGGCAGGCCCCAGAUCAGAUUGCAGCUGGAUUUUCUUAGCAUUGAUGUGCUGUCUAACGCAUUCAACAGAUCCAGGGGAUACACAUGAACAAGACUUGGGUCUUCCUUUUCCGAUCACAUCUCCAGAGACUUCCAGGCUUCUGCCUUUAGUUGGCCAUACCUUGAUGCUUAACCACUUUGAACUGCGAGAUUUCCUGUGCAUGUUGUGCUGACCAUUCUUGUGUAGGGAAACAGGCAAAGCUGGCAGAUCAGCCUGAAAACGAGGUCCGACUGGAAUUGCGAGUCUGAGACUAUCAUCACAUAUGUACUCUAUCCAACCUUUAGGAACUGGAUCGUUCUCCUUCUGGAUAUGGAGUUCCUUUGAGGGCUUCAUUUCUUCGUCCUUCUGAAGACAAUCAACAAUGAGAAAAAUGCUCCAAAGGGACUGGCAAUCUCAAGUACUUUGUAGGUGUAGGUACACAAGCAAAUAGAUGCAAGAUGCUUGAUACUGCUAAGCACGUUCGUUAGUCUAGAUAAAAUAGGACAAUGCACAAGAUGAACUCCAACGAAUUGCUAAUUUGAACUAUAGAAUUCAUGAAAAGAAUUGUGCAAGACUCAGUGCAUUCAUGCAAUAAAAGACACAUCAAGCACCAUCACCUGUCAUUAUUUUUAACCAGUAAAGCAAGGGGAAGGAACCUGUUCAAGAUGGAGAAGAUGAUAUUAGCAAGCGAAUAGCUUCUUCGGAUUGCACGAUUCCACUCUCCCAAUACUGUGUGCUGGGGGAGGCUGUAAUGCUAUUGAUUAAAAUUGAUUUUAUGUCAUCGUAGGCCGCUAAAUUGUACAGAAAAGAAAUACUACUAUCAGUUAGCAAAUACUACAUGCAGACAACAGUUUUCAAAAGCACCUCAAAGACACAGAGCUAGCGAUUCAGCAAAAUAGCUUUGCCUUCCACCAAAAGAAGGCGUUGCUUUGCAUAAGCAAUUGAUUUUGGUGACGACAAUUCAUUGCUUCUCCUCCGAAAAAAAAAAGGAGAGAAAAUAGUUCAUUUAUCUUACAACACAAAAUUUCAAGAAGCCCACCAAGCUUGUACUCUGUUUAUGGAUUCCAGCCAAUAAACGGAGGCCAACAAGAUUCUAGCAUGAGAUUGAAAUUAUCUGUUACAAGAAUAUGCGGGGAAAUAAAUAAAAUCAAAUGAAAUAAAAAAAAACCUCCAUUUUGCUGGUAAUUGCCGUUUACGUUUAGAUGGUCGGAGCAAUCUUCAUUGAAAACAAGAGAAGCAAAAAUUUUGCUGAAUCGCUUAAGCUUCAAUCUACCCAUGCAUGAAUUGAAUAACACAUUUCUAGUGUUGCGAAUUCUACACAACUUGAAUUGAAUUCGAGUUAUCCAUUUACCGGUGCACCGGGAAUUAAUAUUCAAGAAAAUUUCUGAUAUAUGAAAUUAAACCCUAACCCUGGAUAUCGGCUAAACAGAGCGUCCGAACCGAUAUUAGAGGAAUUUAGGAUUCAAGAAGGAAUUGUAUUGUUUCAAUGAUUUUUUUUUGGGCUGUCAGACUGCAUAUUUUUUUCAUUUUGUUUUAAACGGAUAAAUAGUAUUUAGCAAAUUUCUUUAUUCUUAGACCAGAAAUAUCCGCAAAUAUUUCAGCUAAAAUCUCUAAAACGAAUAUCCAAGGAAGAAAAUUACCAACAAAAAAAUGGUUACUAGGAUUAACUAAUUUUGAGUCAUAGAAAUUAAUUUUUUAAUUUAUAUCCAAAAAAAUUGGGAAUUUUUAUUUGUAAAACUUAAAUUCUUUUGGGAGAGGGAAAUGGAAUGCAAAUUAUGGUAAAAUGAUUGAAAGUAUAACAAAUACCUAAAAAAAAAUACCAAUAGAUAAGCCUCUUCUAAUGCUUUGAUCUUCUUCGACAAUUUUUAGUAAGAAACAAUUGCCUGUCUUAUGCCUCUGAUUCUUGCUAUUAAAGAUGAUACAACAACAAAUAAAUGAAGACAACUAUAAUGUGAAGGAAAAAGGUGACAAAUAGCUUUUGGAGAAAAGGAAAUUGACUAGUAUAGUACUUUUCCAAAGAGUCCCUAUAAAGAAUGGAGUUUGGGAACACACACCUAUAUUGUUAUGGAGAGGUUGAACACUUAAAGAUGCAUGUUGCUCUUCUCAAGCAUAGCCCUUGCAAUAUAACAAAUGAGAGUUGUGGGAAGCUAGUUGACACAAUAUAUAGGUGGCAAGUGAGGACUUGCAUCAUCCCUCAAAGCCAAUCAACUCAAUUCUCAGGCUUUAAUAGUUCAUUUGAAUUACUAAAUGAGAUGGUAGCCCAUUAAAGAAGGGCCUUUAGAUUUACAUAGAUCCGAUCUAGAGACCUACUUAUAGACCGUGUAAUUUAAGAGAAAUUCACCUAUAAGAAGUGAUUUAAAAUCACGAUAUUUUAAAUAAUAGAUGCAAAUAUAAAAUUUCUAAAAUCAAGAAGAUGAGCUAUCUUUAGUUUAUGACUGUCGCUUAAAUAGGACUUUCCAAUCGAAUAGCAUAUGGUCACAGUGAUGUAUGACAAUGUAAGAAAAGUGAUAGUAAAUAUUAAAGUCUGUCUAAUGGGUGCUUAUAUCACUAAUAUUAUUUUGAAAAUUACAUACAUUAUACAAAUCAAAAUUGUCAUUGGAUAUAGGAUUUUAAAAUCUAUAAAUAAGAUAUCGAUGUAUAUCCCUAAAAUUUUAGGUAAGAGAGAAAAUAAUAGUAGGUUUUGGAGGUUAAGCAAGUAAUAUAAUACAAAAAUCCAAUUGAUUUUUUUUUAUUAUAAAAAGCAGACUUCAUUAACAAAUUAUUGAAAAUCGUCCAGCGUGAUUUGAUCUAUAUCUCUACCCUAAUGGUAGGUUAAACAUAAAAAUUACAAAUCUGCAUUUUAACAAAUGCAAUAGAUCCAAAAAAAUUAUGAACAAAUCUAAAAAAUAAAAGAAAUUUCAAAAUUGUCUCUAACAGAUAAAUCACUGUAGCUCCCUACUAUGUAUAUUCCAAUCACUGGGUUUAUUAAUCAAUGAUUUUAAACUCUAAUAAUAUGAUGCGAUCUGUCGAAUUAGAUCCAAAAUUCCAAAAAUAUUUCAGAUUUGACGACCAAAUCUGAAGUAAAUUAAGAUCUAAAAAUAAAAAAAAAGAAGAAAAACACAAAAAUCUCCAUAGUAAUCUAUAGGAGAAUAGAAAAUUCUCACUUAGAAUUUCUAGGAGAAAUAGAAAAGCUUCAUUAAAAAAAAAUUCAGGAAAGAGUUUAUUAGAAAAACAAAACAAAACAAAAUGAAAUUCAUGGGAAGGAGACCAUCACGUGAUCUCCCUCCCUAAGGGAAUGUGUUUUAAGAGAGGAGGGGAAAUUGGGAAAAGUUGAAGAAGAGGAGAGGUAGAAAGAAAAGGGUUGAUUUCUGAUAAGAUAAACAGGUUUGCAAAAAUCCAAUUGAUGGUUGAGGAUUGUAUAUAAAAUUUCCAAACUAAGAAGAUGGGGGAAGGUUAAGUUGGGUGGUAAAACGGAAAAGAUUGUAAAUAUAAGGUUCUAAAUUCAAAAUCACAUUUUAAAAAAAAAUAAAAUAGAAACUAGGAAGAUAACUGAAUAAUCUUUCCCAAUCACUUAUAUAUUAGCAAAAUGAUAAGAAUAAAAGAAAAUUUAAAAGUACCCGUUUUCCAUGGGUUCUUCCAUUGAUGGGCUCAGUGUCUAUAGAAUAAAUUUUCUUCGCUAAAUUGCCUUUUCUUUUUUGCUUUUGAUCCAUCGCCAAAAUGAAAUUGUGCUGCAUAAUAUGCAUGGAGUGGGUCAAAUUAAAUGAGUUGGUAUAUUGAGUAGCUCGAUAAUUAUUCGAUGUCUCUUUUUUCUAUUAAAGGAGAUGGUCAAGUCUGCAUUCCAUCAUACUAAUAUUUAUUUUUAGUACAACAUUGUUACAAUUAAUACUAUAAUGGAAAAAGAAGACGGAGAUGAACCUAUCUAAUUUAUUAAAAUGCUUUAUGAGAGUUAAAUAACUUUCGAUCAUAUGCCAAAAAAUUCUGAAAAGGAAACACAAUUAGAGGGUUUGACCCCUAAUCUUCGCCCACGGGGCAUGGAGGGACUUACUUAGUCCCUCUUCUGGUGGCCAUACCAAUCAAUGUACCUACUAAUCAAGACAUCAAAAGAAAGGUGGGGAAGAAGGAUAUUGUCUUUGACAAAAGGCGCCAAAUUAAGUGCGUGAAUGCGCAGGAAAAUGAUUCAUGGUAAUGUUUGCUAUUUAGUUUAUUUUACAAUUAUAUUUUUUUCUUACAUGGACUUACCAAGAGUGAUCAUUCUUGAGGUAAAAAGACAAUAGCAAUACGCUUUCAAAUGUCAAAGGGAAGGAAGGUAAAAAAAGACGACGUUGUGUUUGUCGAAAUUAAAACACUUGUUGGUAAUAUUAAUACGUGUCACUCAAGUAAUUUAGUUUUUCUUAUACGGAAUUCACAUAAAAUUGUCAUUCUUGAAUCAAAAGCAAAGUAGGAAUUGGUUUGUAAAAUUAAAAAAAAAAUAUAGGGAAUUAAAUCUGUGUAAAUUUAAAUAUUUAAUUGAUUAACAGGGAUGAUAUUUUGGACCUAUAUAAAUUUCACCUCAUUGAAUAAAUCUGAGAAACUUUCUAAGCCAAUAUACAGAUUGGAAGCCAAUUCACUAAAUGAAGAUCUAUUAACCACAACCAACCAAAAGAUCCAUGGAAAACUGUAGGGCACAACGUUUAUUGUGCUCAAAUCUGAUGACUUAAGAGGGUUUUUGGAGCUAGUCACUAUACUUUUAUACGGUUUAAUUAGUUAAACCUAUCAUGGUAGUUGUGGAUUCUACUCAAAAUUUAUUUAUCAUGAUCAGAUUUAAUUUAUGCCUCAUAUUGUUUACAUUUCAGAUUAUGUACUGUACUGACUAAUUGGACUAUUGAACAAAGAAAUACUCUUUCUCUCAGACUUGACACUAACAUGUCAAGCGAGAACCAAACCCCUAAUAAAGCCUCUUAUCAACUUCUGACUCGACCAUGAAUCAGUUCGGAACCAACCAAAAUUCAUCCAAUUGGAUCACUCAACAACUAUACGAGUAAUAUAUUCUGGGCAUUUAGAUAAUUCUUCUAUAUAUCCUUGGAAUAUAUUCUGGGCAUUCUAUUAAAGCACAAGGUAUCAUCCAAAGAUUGCUAGAAAUGAAAAGUACUAAAACACGUACCAGCAAAGCAGCUACAUAAGAUUUACAUUUCCUGGACCAAUGCCGUAACAAGUACAACAACUCUAGUAAUAACAAUUCCGGUACUUCUCCUGAAUUGGCAAGAUCAGCUGCACCAAUUGCACCCUUGUGUCAAAGUCCAUGUGCCACUACUUCUCUUCUUUGCUAUGAGAAUAUGGGCAGUUGUAUGACAUUCUGUCUAUAUACUACAAUACAAGAAAAGUAUACUCCAAACUAAGUAUCCAGUUUCCAGCCUGUUAUGUGCGAAACCACUCGGAGGAUUGUUCCCUGCCUCGUGAGUUUCAUCGCUUCCCUGUCAAGUACUUAUUCUGGGUACCAUUAGCCUUGGAGGUUUCUCCAAUAACCUCGUCAUCAUCAUCGUCUGUGUCAAUUUCAGCCGCAGUACGGUUCAACCUGGUUCUCUUGCGAAUUCUCCAGCUGGGAAGGUAAAAAUUAAAGUAGUAGCUGACUAUGCUUGCUCUACUUUUGUUGGGCAGAAAUUGACUGGCCAGCUGCAGAAAAGUUUUACGCGUUGAUGAGGGAAGGUUCCUUUUCUUCAUCACAGAGUUGAACCUAAGCAUAUCCCCUAAAGUCCAGGAAUCAGUAGAAUCUUCUCCCAUCUCAUCAAAUUUCCAGGUUUGAAAAGCAGGCCCCAAUUCAGCCUUCAGUUUUCCUCUUUCCUCCACCAUAUGACGAUGAACACAGUCAACAGAUCCAGGCAUUUGGCAAUUACAAGCAUCCCCCUCGUGCGUCGAACUGUUGUUCGUCUCUUGGCUAGGUUGGUUUGGUUCAUUUCUUGACCAUAUCUUCGUACCAAACCACUUUCGAUUGUUUGGGUUGCUGGCGUACUGGUCCUUAGUGGACAAGAUAGGCAAAUAAGCUUGAAAUGGAUCUUUUUUGGGGAUUUCCUCGUACUCUGAUUCGUUAGCUACCUCCGGGAUUACCUUUGGACCUCCUGAUUCAUUCCUAAUAUAAGGGACUACCCCCCGCUCUUGCUGAAUAAAAUUUAUCCAAUCCCUUUUGCACUCCUUGGGGUUCUCAACUUUGAGUAGUCGCUUUCGCUUCUGUUUACUUGACAUGCUGGUCAUUUCAAGUCACCAACGAGGGUGUGAGACAUAGAGAUGUUCCAAUUAGAUCCGUGCGGUUGGAUAUGAAUCAAAAUAUUGUAAUUCGUAGUUCUGACGAAUGUACCUGAUGAAGUCCAGGAGAUGAAAGACUGAAUUGGUUCAGAUGGCAAAAGUUAUUGGAUCCUGGUAUUCUGCGUACAAGACGACAGAAACAUAGGAAAAGAAUAAAGGAUUAGCAAUGUUCUACAGACUUGCGAAGGAGGACAAAGCAAAACGUACAGGAGAUGUAAGACACAUGAUAUUCAUGGAAAAAAGUCGCAAGUAAAUGCAUAUUUUGCUUGCAUGUCGAUUAAUUUGACAUGUCAACGUGUACAUCAGCACUCGAUUCUUGCUCCCUAAGUAAGAGCGUUCUAAUCUCUGAAUAUUAUGCAAAGGAAAACAAUAAUUUCUUAAGAAAUUCUGUAAGUCUGAUGACCGAAAGUUACAAUAAAAUUAUAAUGCUCAAUAUGAUAGCAACUGCAAUCUAGGAAAUGGACCAUAUGAAGAAGACGAAGGAGUACAUUUCUUCAACUUUCAAUAGUUAUAUCUCCAAAAAAUAAACAUAAAAAAAAAGAAAAUUUCAGUAAUUAGAAAAUUAAAAUUGACCGAAGUGCCUUUGAUCCAAAAAUUCAAUCAUGCAAACCAAACUAGAAGAACAUACAUUUAUAAUAUGGUAAUUCAGUUACCAAAUCUAACACAUUUUAGGUUGUGAUUUUUUUCAGAAAAAAUUCAAGAAUAAGAAAAUCUUGCAAGCCCGCUAAGGAAACCUUGUACUCCAUCUAUUUUUCUCGUCUCUACCAUUAUAUAAUAGAGUGUGUUUGGAUUGUAAAUUAUUUGAGAUAUUUUUAAUGUAAUAUUUUUUGUGAUGUGAUGUAUGUGAGAUAAAAAAGUAAUUGAGAAGAUCAAAAAGUGUAUUAAAAAUUGUAAUGGUGAUAUAAGUAAAUAAAUUUGAACAAAUAAUCUCCCGACCAAACACACUAAGAUUCGUUCCUGCUCUGCAAAAGUCAUCCGAAACUCAAGGCUAAUUUUGGCAUUUUAUUGGUUGAACCAGCUCCAAGUACAACCCUAUAUUGUAUAUUCCGCAGGCCGCAAAGUAUAGAGCUGUAAUCCAAGUAAAUAAAACAAGAAAAGUUUAUAUUAAAAAAAAAGAAAAGGAACGGUGAUAAAUUUUGUUUUUCCUCUUUCUUUUCUCGAGCCCGCCAUUUUUCAAAUUCAAUAUCGAAACAAAAAUACAAAAAAGAUAAUCGAGAGAGUUCUCCGAGUCGUUUCAACCAAAUAUUACCCGACAUUAACGAAAAUACCAGCAGAAAGAAAUAUUACCUCUCCAAUACAAACAGAAACCUUUCGCCUGAGAAUAGUCUGCGGGUUCUGCAAUGAAGAAUGGUAAUAGCCCAGUUCCUCUGUAAUGUCGUUGAAAUCUGACGUUCUCCUCUUACUUGUUGUCUUUACCUCUGUUUUACAGCUGGAAUCUGACUGUUAUAAUUCGUUUUUAGCGUCUGUGGUAGAUUUCUGAUCUCGUUCUCUCCUCCGAAAACGCAAAUCUUCAGAAGAAGAUGAUUCGGUUCUCUGAGUUGAAGAUUCAAUGCAAAAGAAUCAGAUAUAAUAUCGAUUCCCAUUCAAGAUAUAGCAGGUUCUCUAUUAGAUUAUGAUUUUUCAGCUGUUUUCUCCAAAGAGAUGAAGAAACUCAAGGCCCUAACCGCAAAUUUAUUGCGAUUUCAUGACUUUCUGAUCGAUGAAAUCUCCAUAUGAGAAUCGAAUGAGUCGUUGUCUUGAAAUUGUUAUGAUCACGAUAUUCAAGAAAAUAACCGAGUUUUCAGAUAAUUUUCGUAAAGUUUGAGGGUUGAGGAAAAUUUUUGAGCAAUUAAAAGAUGCAGAAGAUAAAAGAGUAGAAGUAAAAUGUAUUUUAAUGGAAGGUUAAAUUAAAGGAAAAAUUGGCUUACCUUAUUUAUAUGUGACGCAGGGGAUUCCCUUGCGCUCGCUCCCGCUUACGCUUAGUUUGAUUCAUAUAGCUUUAGUUUGAUUCAUAUAGCUUGUUGACGACGAAUCAAUACUUAAUGAGCUAAUGCUGUGGGUAAUUGUGAAAUAAUAAAAUAAAGUCGUAAAUAUUGUCCUAUUUAUGGACUAUAUGAUUUACUUGUUUCAGUCAAUCAAAAGACACCUGCAAAUGAUUUAUGAACUGUAUGAUUUACUUGUUUCGAAGAGUCAAAAGACACCUGCAAAUGGCACUGCUUUAAAAGAGAGAUGUUAAUGACAUUUCUUUAUUUGUUAAUGACAAUCUAUUUGACCUUUUCAGCGUGUCAAUUGAAAAUUUUUUAUUGAAUUUGCAAUGCAUCUUGUUUUUAUCAUGAGAAUGUUUAACUUGUCAUUAGAACAGCAAUGUAAAUCAAAUCGUAUUAGACGAUUUUCAGUAAUUCAUUAAUGAAAUUUGCUUUUUAUCAAAAAAAAAUCUGAAAAAAAUCAAGAGGAGUGUCAUUUUAAAAGCACUAUCAUUUGCAUAUCUACGAGUCCAUUAAUAAACCCGAUGAUAUAUCCAAGUGCCUUGUGGUCAUUGUGAUUUAUAUAAUGAUGCGUAGAAAUUAGCGAGUGAAAUAAGAAAAUCAGCCUGAGUAUAGCACAUAUUUACCCGAGUACACCACCUGCCAACCUGUAAGUAUUUCCUUUCUUUGGAUAGGUUUUUUCAACAUACCAAAUGCACUUAUCAUGAAGUAUGAAUCUUCUAUACCAAACAGCGAUUUGGAUUAUCUGCUUGUAUUGCCUCACAUCCCAUUUCAAUCACACUAAUGUUGAGAACUUAUUUCCUGUUUGGAGUUGGAUGAGAAGGAUUGAAGAUCAAUAGGAGGGGUAAAAUAAUACACGAAUAGUUUGAUGGGAUAAGGCUAUGAAUUAGAAUGUAUCACCACUUAGGAUCCGGUUCAUUGCGGUUGUCGCAGAGGGCAUUUGAUGGCUAGCCUGAUUCGAGCUGUCAAAUGCAUGGUGCGAUUGCUCCUGCAACUGCACAAAUCCUAUUACUUAUCGACCACAAUGAGCUCAACUUAUGCAUAUGCUAGAAUUGGGCAAGGUUUUCUUAUGUAGGAUGGAGGACACGCAAAAGAAAUGAAGCAUUAGGGAAACUCGUAAUGCUCUUUGGUGCCCAAAUAAUUCUUGUGCACGGCCAUAUAUGUACGCAAAGAUGCUAUGCAUAAUUCAUAUUCAGUCGAAUGCAGUAGUCUGGGACAAUCUUAUCACAAGCACGAAAUACUCAAAUCGAGCAAAUAAAGCUUCAAUGAACACAAUUGUAAUUCAAAUUCAAGGCUUCAAGCAGCGUUUUCUUGAGGAGCAUUGGCUGAAAACAUAGGACUUUUCAAAUAUGUAAAAUGAGCAAUGCCACAGGCAAUAAUUACUCAACAUCAAAGCCUUUUUGCUGAAGCUCAGAUACGACUUCAUUCUUCAUCCUCAUCCACAGCUUAAAAGCCUCCUGCUCAAACUUCUUGUCCUGCAAAUUCUUUUGAAAAUUGAUCGAAUCUUUAUCUGUUUCGAUGAUGCCUUUCGGCCCAAUUGUAGUUCCAAUCAUCCCACCCUUAGCAAUGAACUCCUCCAUUGCCUCCUUGUCACCUGGAUAUGGAAAAUUUGGGCGCUCGUAGAGAUGGGCUAGCUCCUGUUCCUCCUUAGGCUGGGGCUUUAAAGUCCACCAGCCAAGCGGUGACGUCUCGUUCCACAGCCAAGCUACGCCAAAAAGCGUGUAGGUGCACAACAAUGCCUUGCCUAUUUGCUUCCAGAAGUGAUAGUCUUCUUUUCCUAGCCCAACUUUCUUCAAAAAGUUCUCGGCGUAAAACAGACCUGAAAGAGAUUCAUGCAUAGAUUAGAAGUAUGCAGCCAAUUGGUUGAGGCUUUUCGUCGAACGACUUGUGUCAAUUACCCAUGUACACUGACAGAUAAUAAAUGAAACCAUAGAAAUAAGCAGGAACUUAUACCUGCUUCAUUUUUUAAAAAUAUCUUGGUACCGAAAGAGAAUUGGCACGAAAAUUUGCAUUUUACCUGUUCUCGUGUCCUGAAAUCGUUUGCGAACCAUUGAUGAAAGAGCUCGAGAAAGAGAGCGUCGGGGUGUUCAGGAGCGAAAGCUGAAUAAUGCAACUGGUAUAUACGGUCGGUCUGCUUUUGGGUUUCGUGGGUAAGAGUCUAGUGAGUAUCUUUUUUUUUUUUUUUUUCGACACAGGGAUGUCCAGGUCAAUUCUUACGGGGCCCGACUAAUCCCCUGCGACCCGGACCCGGCGCUCCAACCCGGCCCGAACGCGUUAAGUGCACGGAGGAAUCCAGCGGAGCGGAGACUUAAACUUGUGACCUCAAGGUUCACUGGUGAGAGGCGCUGCCGCUGGACCAUUCACGCGGGGGCUGUCUAGUGAGUAUCUAGCCUAUCAAUAUUUUAAGAUUGUCAGAAAUUAAUUAGGUCUUUCAGGAUAGAAUUGGUCUAGAAAUUUUUAUUUUUAUUAUUUUUUAAAAAUGGUCAUGAAUAAUUUCAUUUCAAAGCAGCGCCUAAUUACCUCAAGAAUCUUGAAAGUCACGUCCAAAAAACCACGUAAUCAGUGAAUCUUUAUUCAUAUACCUCAAGUCUUAACGUACUUUUGUUAGCCCUAUAUCAUUGUUUUUAUUUUUUUAAUUCCAAAAUCACUGGGUUACGGCCUUGACGACCUUCAAAGAUGUGUGUUGCUUAAGGAAUAAGUGAGGAGUAGAACCUUGUUUUUUUUUUCCCUAACGAUAACAGUUAAGCAGGAAACUUUUGACUUGGACCAUUUAAUGUAGUAAAAACAAGCUAAAAGUCUACUUUGACCCAACCACUUGUUUUACAUCAUAUAUUGCCAUGCAAACCUGUCAAGAAAUUGCUGUAAUCUUGUAAUUUGUGAUAUCCCAAUAAACUGUUUCAUCUAUGCAAACAAACAGUCAUUGAAGAACAUAUGUUUGAAAUUCUCAACAACUCUGACGGAUGCAUCUUUCUGCAGUGAGGAAACUUGCCACCUUGUAUACCUCAUCAGCGAAGAGUCCCAACUGGUUUUUUGUACGUGUACCACUUUGCAAUGAGGAUAUAAGCUCCCAAAUUCAGCACGCUUAGCACAGCCAAGAGCCAGAAGAAGUAAUCGGUGUGACCGCGAUUAAGAUUAUUCGGUAUCCAACCAGGUUUUCCAUUCUUUGUGCUAAUUCUUGUCACAAUGGUCACAAGCAAGGAACUCAAGUAGUUUCCCAAGGCAACUGUGGUCAGGGAGAGAGCAACACCCAAACUUCUCAUGGCAUCAGGUGCUUGCUCAUAGAAGAAUUCCAGCUGUCCAAUGAAUGUGAAAACUUCUGCACAACCUAUGAUGAAAUACUGAGGCACCUGCCAAAAUAUUGACAUGGGUAUCUCUUCAAGAUCAUAGGAGUUAUGUCUUUUCACAUAGCGUAAUCUAACAAGUUCCAAGAUCCCUGCUGAGAGCAUGGCAAAGAUCGAUAUGAGGAGCCCGAUUCCCAUUCUCUGAAGCUGAGUCAAGCCAUUUUUGUGACCUGUGAACUUUCUGGCAACCGGGACAAUAAUUCGGUCAUAAACAGGAACCCAGAAUAUGACACUCAGGGUGUCAAAAAUCCCAAGUGAUGCAGGCGGGAUUUGGAAGGUAGAAUGUCCCACAUAAGUAUUCAUCGUUUCUCCUUGUAAGACGAACAGGGUGCUCAUUUGACCAUACACACUGCUGAAGAUGAUACCUGUUGCCCAUAUAGGAAGCAAUCGUAUUAUGGCUUUUAGCUCCUCAACUUGAGUCACCGUACAAAGUCUCCAAGGAUCUACAGAGCCCCUUUUAUAGUCAGAUUCCCUCUCAACGGCUGCCUUGUCAAAGAAACUGUUUAGGAUAACAUUAUACAAUAUUUCAGUUUUGAAACAAUGCAAGGGGCAAGCAAGCAGUUGACACGGCAAAGGAGAUUGUUCAAGAUUAAAUCACGAAAGGCUUCAUUUCAGCCAUUGGUUUUGAAAGAACUGUAAAAGUACACAAGACGUGUUAACUGCAAAUAUAUUUCUUAUAUUACAUUUGAAGUGAUGAUUCCUAUAGAACUAUUCAAAAGAAGGUGUUAUGCCUUUGACCAAAUGAAUAAGGUGUUAUGCCUAAGCAGUGUCCGUUCCUUUCUUGUCAAGUUUCCGAGAGGUAGAGACUGUUUGUUUUUAGCCAUUAAAAGAAGAAGUUCUGAAACCUUAAAAAUGACUACCCAAUAAAAAUUCUUAAUUCUUUAGAAAAUUUGAGUAUGUGUGUAUAUAUAUAUAUGUUUAUAUAUAUACAUACAUAUAUAUAUGAAUAUAUAUAUAGGUUUAUAUAUAUACAUACAUAUGUAUAUGAAUAUAUAUGUGUGUAUGUAUGUAUAUAAUCAAUUUUUUCCCUGAAAAUUGCAUAGUUAUCCAACGUAACUCCACUUUUUCCAUUCAAUACUUCAAAAAAGUACCAUCAGAUAGAUGACUGGCUAAGAACCAUUUAAUGAUCCUUUGAAUAUCUUUUGAACUCAAUCUUGAAAGCAAGCAAAAAUUAUCAAUCAAGUUUAAAACCACGAGGUAGGCAGGAUGAUAUGGUGCUUACACAAGAUCACUAGUAUGCCCAAGCUUCCGACUUCCUUCUAUUGCAGAUUCAGUAUCUUUGCAUUCAUACAACAAAGACUUGUCUUCAGGCACUUCAACUUUAUACUUCUUGAAAGAUGCAACAAGCACUUGGCACAAGCGCGUCAAAGGGCUUCCUCCUGGUUUUUGGUUACGAUACAAUCGAGAACCUGAAAAGAAACUAACCGCAGCAAUUGCCAUUGUUACGGCUGGAAUGCCAAAUCCCCAUCCCCAACCCACAUUAUCUUGUACCCAGACCAGCACUGAUGAAGCAAUAAGUCCACCAAUGUUGAUUGAAAAAUAGAACCAAUUAAAGAAAGAAGCCUUGUGCUUCUUUUCAACCUCAUCUGUGUCAUCAAACUGAUCGGCUCCAUAGGAAGAUACACAAGGCUUUAUACCACCAGUUCCCAAUGCUAUGAGAUAAAGAGCUAAAAAGACAACAGAACUCUGUGUUCCUGUUGCAUGGCAAGAUUCCUUUCCAUGACAGGUUGGCUUCAGACCGGGGAUUGAGGCUGAUAAUGUCAACAAUGUCAUCCCCUGCACAUCAAAUGGUUAUCAUUUUUGAAGCUUGUUAACCAGAUCAGAAUGUAUUAAGAAGACUGGAAAUUUUGAAAUCAUUUAAAUUUUCUUUCUUAUAAAAUCUGUAUUUCUUUAUUAGAACAUUUCAUCUGUCUAAUUAUUGAACUAAACAUGGGUUAUUGUGCUUGCUGGAGUUUGAUGAUAAUUUACCAUGUAUAGAACUAAGAGAUUGCAUUUCUCUACAUUGAUGAUGUGGCCCAAAAUACACCAUGAAUCAAGGAUAGGCAGAAGUAGACCAGACAAGAAAUGGUUGUGCCCCAAGUUACUCCGCUUUAACGUUAACUUCUUACCUACGUGUACCAUGUAAUUUUAUCUAAUUUCUUUAGCGCGAGUCAUGCCUACCUAAGUUGCAAAAGAAUUUGUGCAUAUACAUUUCAGCCGAAAAAAGAUUACCAGAACAUAGAUGAUUGAGAAACAAGCAAUUGUCCAAAAUCUUCCAAGAUAUGCAUCUGCAAAAAAUGCUCCAAUUAAGGGUGUGAUAUAGCAUGUCCCAGACCAAUCAGAUACAUUUUUAGAAGCAGUGGCAUUGUGCUGUCCAAGUCGAUGCUUGAAAAAUAGCACCAGAUUAGAACUCAUUCCAUAAUAUGCCAAUCUUUCACAACAUUCAUUUCCUACAGUAAAAAUCAACAAAGGAGCAUAAGUUUUGCCUGAAAUAUCAAUCUUCACCUCUGAUAAACCUGAUGAAAAGCAAAUUAUUUUGGUACCUAAGAUGUAAGGACAGGCUCUCCAAGUCCCAGUUUCAUUUUUCUUGGCAGGAUUACCACGGCAGUCAACUGUCCCGUCCUUAGUAUACAAGUCAUCCUCUGCCAUAGCUUUCUGGAUACCAAUCCCUGCCACAAGAGUAGACUACUGCAAAGCUUUUGCAGCAGCAAAGCCAAGGCAGAACUCAAAGAUUACUUGAACCUGCAAAUUUGAUUGCAAGUAAUCAAAAUUUCUUCAGCUAAUUAGCAUAGUCCAAGUGGUGGUUAGAAGUCCCGCCUUUGUUGUUGGUACAACUGGCAAUAUAUUAGUAUUUAGUUUUUCAUACCAAAAAUUCUUAAGUAUAUGAACCAUUUAUAAAAAACAAAAGUCAUUAAUCUCCUGAACUGGGACUAUAUAGCAGCACCUAGACACACAGUAAUAGAAUAUUGAUGACAACUUAAGGUUUAUAAUUCUUUGAUUUAGUACGAUGUUACACUUCCCUUAGAACAAACUUUGUAUCUGUUUUUCUUUUUUUAAUUCAAUCUGCCAUUAAUUUGUGAGACCUCUUUUGCAGUACAUGAUAUCAUAGGCCCUUGUUUUUCUCAAGGAACCUCUUCCUAGUUAAAUACAAAUUCUAUACUCCAUUAUCCUCAACCUUAGAGAAAGCACGUUCCUUUCCAUUAACAUGUGGUACUAUGCAAAUUUUGAGCCUAAAUGUUGAUUCACUUCAUAAAUUUUUUAGAGUAAAUCUUUCCUACGUUGACGUAUACACUAUCAGCGUUGAAUUUAUGAUGUGUGCAAAAGUUGAAUUGCAAAUUCAAAUUUUGCAUAGUUAUCAUUCAUCCAACACUGACAGGUAGGAAAGAUUAAUCCAAUUUUUUAUUGAAAAACUUCAGAUCCCUCUCCAUACUCUUCUCCCUGAUCCCUCCUCUCUAUCUAUUCCUAACACUAGCCCUCUAUCCGCAAACUUCACUGACCUCUCUUUCCCCUACUCUGCAUCAUAAAAGCAAAAUAGUAGUAGUAUGUAUUUUCUGAUGGGCUAACCACUCUAAAACAAUCGAAUCCACUCAUUCAAUAGAUUCCGUAUUCGAAGCUCAAGUUAAGGCACAGAAGGUUCCAAUCAUGCAUCACAUAAGAACACUGAGAAUUAGCCAAUCAAGAAAUCAAAAGCCAUAAACAAAAAGAUUAGCUAAGAAUGAUGGCAAACAGAACGAAAAUCAAAAUACACACCUGAAGCUGGCGGGACUAGGCAGAGGAGAGCGUAUGCUCGGGGCAAUAAUCAGUCAGAUUUACGUAGCUGAGAAAAAGAGCCUUAGCCCAGAAAAGAUGAGGACAAGUGCGAAUAAGGUUGAUGAUUAAAAAUCAGUAAAACCCAAAGAUUGGACGUUUACUAGAAUGCAGAAUGAGAAUCAUGAGCGUCAACUUUUGGAGACAGUUGCGUCCUUGUCCCAACUCCAGUACUACUUGUGCUGAGCUACACAGUGACGGGAAUAGUCAACUGAAGCAUGGGGAGGAAAAGGAAUAGGAUGACUAGGGAAAAGCUACCCACUAGCAACAGCAUGCGCCCACAAAUGCUGGAAGAAUUUUCAGUUGUUUCAGGAUUCAUAUUUCCAAUUCAACGACUGAUACUGAAUUGGACUUGAAAGGUCCCUUGGGCCGGCGAGGCGGCUAUAGUACUGCUAGUGCCAGCUCACACUUUCCAUUAAUUGACCCUUUUACCCUUUACGGCGGUUUGGUCCAAAUGCUGCCACCUCCCUUCUCUUUUCUUUUCUUUUCAUUCUUUUUAGGUCGAGCGACUCUAGAUUUAUAUUUUGUUGUUGAGUUGAUCAAAUAUGUUUCAUAGAGCGUUUAAGAUUAGAUGUCCUCAAUUGGAUUUUAUUAGAGAGAUACAAUCAUGAAGAGAGAACGACUAGACAAUAAUAACGAGACAAUUGAUCUAUUUUUUUUUCGAGACUAAAUUAAAUUAACCAUUGUCAGCUAUUUCGAUGGAAUAGCUCCUACGUAACUGGUUUUGCAACGUCCAUGAAUUCUCUACUUCAUUUUUUUUUUUACUUGUAUCAGUGUCACGGAUUUGUUUCGGGAAAGAGAAGGAAGGGGGGGGCGGGGAGGGGGGAGGGAUAGAUUUGUCUUUAAAUAAGAUUGGAUUGAGAAGAUGACGUUAGCUCCAGCAAAAGAUGACAUUCCGCUGCCGGGAUUGUUAAGGAUUUGAUUAUCCUCAGUUGACUACAGCAGCCGCCAGCAGUUUGGAUUAAGGAUAAUAAUUGGAAAAAUGGUCAUCCAUUCAGACGGAGACGCUCAUCCAAUCCAAUUAUUAGUGUUUAAAAUUUACUCAAUUGUUUUGUGGGUUUUUUGCCCUAUUUUUUUUUUCCUACCAUAAAAUCACAAGAUAAUUCUUUUUUUAUUGUUGUGUUGAGUUGAUCAAAUAUAUUUCAUUGCACGCUCAAAAUUGGAUGUCCUCAAAUUAGAUUUUAUUGGAGAGAUAUAAAUAGUCAUGAAGUGGGAACGACCAGCAAAUAAUGACGAGACAUUUUUAUGGUCAUGGAUUUGUCUGCCCCAUACUUUAUUUUAAAGGGAUGUAUUUGUCUUUAAGUAAGAUGGGAUUGAGAAGAUGACGUUUGCUCCAGCAAAAGACAGAUUGAUAAGGAUUUGAUUAUUCUCAGUUGGCUGCAAAACUGAUAAUUGGAAAAAUGGUUAUCCACUCCAAUGAUUAAUUCACCAAUUAAAAAAAAAAAAAGGGUUAUGGCCAGUUUAGACGGAGACACUUGAAAAUUAUUUUAUCUAUCAAGGAUUGUUAGGAUCAAGUGACAAGCAACUUAAUAUCUCUUAAAUAAGGUCUGGAUUCGAGGUUAGUGGAUGAUGAAAAUCUCACAGCGAAUUUGUGUCUUCCUACGAUUCGUUCGUUUUUGACCUUUUUGACUUUUUCAUCUAUUAGUUCCUUCUGGCCUCAAACCAAGUGAUGACUUUUCUAUUCUCCUUUGUUUACUAGGAAUGGAAACGUUGGACGAAUCCCUGCUCGACGGGUGGGUCUUGCAGUCAAGCUCCCUUCUGCCUUUGCACUCGAGGGCCAAUCUCCGUCCGGCCCGAGGAAACCUUUGCACGCCUCCGUUACCUUUUGGGAGGCCUACGCCCCAUAGAAACUGUUUACCUGAGACUGUCCCUUGGCCCGUAGGUCCUGACACAAGGUUAGAAUUCUAGCUCUUCAAGAGUGGUAUCUCACUGAUGGCUCGGGCCCCCCGGAAGGAGGCCUUCUUCGCCUUCCACCUAAGCUGCGCAGGAAAGGCCCAAAGCCAAUCCCAGGGAAUAGUGAAGCUUCAUAGGGUCUUUCUGUCCAGGUGCAGGUAGUCCGCAUCUUCACAGACAUGUCUAUUUCACCGAGCCUCUCUCUGAAAAGUCGGAAAAAGACCCCAUCUAAGCAUGAAGAGAAAGCAAAAUCAAUCUCUUCGCAGAAUGCAAUUGUAAUUGUAUACUUCUCAUUUUCUUUUUUGUUUUUUAAUCAUAUUUUUUUUCCUACAAUCGACAAUAGUCUAUUCUGCACCUAUUCCCACUCUAAUCUAUUCUAAAGAAGACCCAGCUGAAUUAAUGGGAGGACUAACGGGGAUUGAAUCACUAUUAAAUUAGAUGGGAGCACUACACACCCGUCUGAAUUUUUAAAAGAACCACAUAAUGUGACAAUUGGUGACCCUUGUCUCCCAUCCCACUAAACCUUAAGGACUUGGUGGUAGCUACCAAUCCAAAGGCUAGUGGUUGUUUUUUAGUCAUCUUUGGUUUUAGUGAUUUUCACACUUCACAGAAGACAAAGACAAGAAUUUCAGACUGUAUAUAAUGAUUACGGCAUUGCACCUAAUGAGGUUGCUGGCAUUUCUCAUUUCUUUCUUCCUAAGAUAAUUAUCGUGCAUACACCUUUGAUAUCUUUAUCAAGUUACAUAUUAAUCCUUGAUUUGAAACAGCUGAUUUUUGCUCAUAUGCUCGAUACUUUUCUGCAUAAUUAUCAGAAGAUUUUAAUUGUGUACAAGGUCGAGCAGGAAGCCAAGCUAUCCAAAUUAACGAAAUAGUUCCAUUUUACUGUCUCGUUGAACAUAGGAAGAUGGAAAACUCUAUACAAUACUUGAAGUUACCCAUAAACCGUAAUCUCACAUUUUCUUCUUUUUCUAUGUUGAAAUUGCAAUCAUUUAUCAGCGGAUAGUUUAGUUCCGACCGCCUUUUUGUAUGUGUACCUUUGGGCAACCGCAAGAAAAACUCCAAAAUUUAGCACGCCGAGCCCAGCUAGGAGCCAGAAGAAGUAAUCGAGAUGGCCAUAAUUCAAGUUGUCCGCUAUCCAUCCUGGUUUUCCACCCCUGGUGCUGGCUUUUGUGACAAUUUGCACUAACAAAGAACUCAAAUAGCUACCAAGUGAUCCGGUGGUGAGCGAUAGAGCAGCGCACAAGCUUCUUAUGGAAUCAGGUGCCUGUUCGUAGAAAAACUCUAUCUGUCCAAUGAAUAUGAAAACUUCUGCACAGCCUAUUAUGAAGUAUUGAGGAACCUGCCAGAAUACUGAAAUUGGUAUCAGCUUCGCAUCAUACAGGUUAUGUCUCCCCACUAUUCCAAGCCUAACAAUCUCUAAAACAGCCGCAGAUACAAUGGCGAGAAUUGAUAUGACCAUUCCAAUGCCCAUUCUCUGCAGCUGUGUCAAGCCAUUUUUCUGACCAGUAAUUUUUCUGGCAAAGGGGGUGAUUAUUUUGUCAUAAAUUGGAACCCAGACAAUGACACUGAGAGUGUCGAAAACACUAAGGGAUGCUUCUGGGAUCUUGAAUCUAGUGUUUCCUAAAUGUGUAUCCAUGACCUCGGCUUGCGACACAAAUAAAUUCCCCAUUUGGCUGUAAACAGCGCUAACGAUAAUGCCAGUGGCCCAAACAGGUAGCAAUCUUAAGAUUGAUUUUAGCUCCUCCACUUGUGUCACAGUGCAAAGUCUCCAUGCGCUUACUUUGGAUUCAUUUGUGAGAUCAGAUUCUGUCUCCACCGCUGCCUUGUCAAAGAAACUGCAAAUGACACAACAGUCUUGAUUUAGAAUACCUAAGGAGAAACAUAAUAGCAAUAAAAGCUGAAGUUUACUGAGCAAUGCAAUCAUUGCUCUUUCACCUCCCUUUGUUGAUAUGUAUAAUCAGAACCCUUUGAACAUUUUAAAUCAACUCUGUCUCUUCUUCAUUUUAGUUUCUUCCGUUUUCUAUUUAACCAUAAAAUUACACAGGAGGUACCAUCUUUAGUUGCAGACUCCAGUGGUUGAGGUUUGAUCAUUUCAUCUUGCUUUCUGAACCAACAGAAAAUACUAUACUGGAAAACUGACACAGCUCAAGGCUUUUUAUCUAAAAGCACACCUGAAGGCUUUUGUGUGUUCAAGCUUGCGACUGCCUACAAUAGCACUUGUCUCAUCUGCAACCUCGUAGAGUUGAGAUUUGUCAGCAGGCAGUGGAACGUUAUAUUUUCUCAGAGAUGCCACCAAGACCUGGCAUAGGCGAGUCAAGGGACUGCCUCCUGGUAUCUGAUAACGGUAGAUUCGUGUACCUGAAAAGAAGGAGACCACAGCUAUCGCCAUAGCUGCAGCAGGUAUACCAAACCCCCAUCCCCACCCGACAUGUAAUUGUAUAUAGACCAGAAAAGAUGAAGCAACAAGUGCCCCAAUGUUGAUACUGAAGUAGAACCAAUUGAAGAAAGAGCUUUUGAAGUUCUUCUCAGUUUCAUCAGCAUCAUCAAACUGGUCUGCUCCAUAGGAUGAGACACACGGCUUGAUCCCUCCAGUUCCUAGUGCUACCAGGUAGAGUGCAAGGAAGCUUACUGUUGUCUGAAUGCCUGUUGGGUCGCAAACAUCUUUAGCAGAGCAGGCGGGUUUUAGGCCCGGGACGGACGCCGACAAUGUUAAAAGUGUCAUGCCCUGUCACACAAUUAAAGUCAUCUUUUGGCAUCUUAUGAUCAAAUCAGAUCUCAAACCAAACAGAUUACUAUGCUACUCAGCUUGGUUUCCACUAAAUAUAAGCAAAUAAAAUAUUUGAAAAAGUUUCACGGCUACAAGCAGCUCGGAAACUAAUGAAACAAUACAUAUAAACCAAGGAAGGCUGCCGGCCUGCGCCUGCCUGCAUCGUCUACAUGUGGCCAAGAUGACAAGUAGCUUUAUCCAUCUUGAUUUGUUAAAAUGGAAAAACAACCAACCAUAAAAUGCAAUACAUACAAUGAAAUAGAUGAUUGAGAAGCUGGCGAUCGUCCAAUAUCUUCCAAGAUAUGAAUCAGCAAGAAAUGCUCCUAAUAAUGGCAUGAUAUAGCAUGUUCCUGACCAAUUUGAGACGUUUCUUGACGCUUCAGCGGUAUGCUGAUUGAGUUGGUUUGUGAAAUAGAUCAUCAGAUUGCUGCUCAUUCCAUAGUACGCCAAUCUUUCACAGCAUUCAUUUCCUAGCAACAAAAAAGAAUAAAAAGUACAAUAUGAUGAUCUUGCCAAGAAUGCCACGGUCCAAAUAAGAGGAAAACUAAGAUGAGACAGUUACCAAGGAUGUAAGGGCAGGCCUUCCAGGUUCCGGUUUUCCUCUUGUCAGCAGGGUUCUUACGAUAAUCAACUGUUCCAUCUUUGGUGUAAUAGUCAUCUGCUUCCAUGAUAUCCCGCAAAGGGUACGCAAUCAAACGGCUGUUUCUCCCUUCUCCUUUGAGCUAUUACUCAAACCUGGUACUCUAUGAUACCCAAGAAAAGUAGUAGGCGGCAUGAAAUCAGAAAGAGGAGUCCAUAAUUUAUAGACAUACACUAGCAGAUUAAUUUAUUACCAUAAUUAAUUCGCCAAGUUUGUGUGUUGAGUUGAGUGUAGGUCUCUAAAUCGGCUUUUAUGGCAUGAGAUUUAAAAGAGGAAUCCACAAUUUAUAGACAUGCAAUAGCAGAUUAAUGCCAUAAUUACUUCACCCAAAUUUGUGGUAUAUGAGGAACGUAAAUUUGUUUGAAUCAUUUGAUGUAAAUAGAUUUAGGUAAGAGUGUAAAAUGAUAAUAUUGUAGUGUAAAAAUUACAAGAAAAAUACCAUUUUAUCCUCAACUAAUCUGAAAUAGAACUUGUGAGUCCCGUGAUUCGUUUCUCUUGUGAUCCGUUCUCUUGUGCUCUUUAAUGGGAUGGCAAAGAUAUGAUUUACUUGCUUUAAGUACUCGGCAAAGCAAUUUGUGGCCGCUUGCACACAAAUAAACACAUUUUUUUCUUCAUAUUUCCAUUCCUCCAAGGUUUUGGUCUGCCUAAGCAGUAGACACCACUAGAUUCGGAGAAUAAUAAGUUGACUUUGGGCUACAUUAGAUUGAUGAAACAAUGGCCAGACGAAUCACAUAGUUUUAAAACACAAACGAAUUCAACAAUGCCAUAUAUACAGUUCCUAGUUACUACCGCCAUGAACAGUCCAAGUCAUCAACCGACUGCAUUUAUAGCUAAUGUGUCUUUUUCCAUACGAACACGAAAUGCUAGGCUUCAAAAGAUUAGAGAAAUUAAUGCUUACCACCAAUGGCCUCUAGCAUGAUCAACAUAAAAAUGGAGGAAAAUGCGUGCCCGAAAGAAAUUCAAACAACAACUUUGAAAAGAAAAGAAAACAUCAAAAUAAUUUCUAUGUGAUGAUGAAGAAGAAUAAUGUCAAAUUGGAAUAAUCCCUAGUAUAUAUGCUGCAGUAAGAUGUGGUAAACUCACGUACGUUAGAGAAAUUGAAAAAAAAAAAAAAAAAAGGAAAAGAAAAGGAGAAAGAUGGGAAGAACUCACGUACAAGAAGUAGGAUGGCCAAAGUAAGUCUGACGGGGAUCAAGCAAAACGUACCUCGAAAAGAUAAAAUGGCAAAUUACGUACAUACUCCCUAUAAUUUUGCAUAAUGCCUGAUGAUCUUUUUAAGAUUUUAAAAUAGUCAUGUAAUCCCCUAUAGUUCCACAUAAUCAGUCGGGGCGAUUAUACCAAAGGCGUUCUAGAAGUGUGUAUGAUGAAAUGAUAAUAUCCAUUUAACUUCUCUAUAGUUUGCAUAAAUAGUCACUUUAUUCCCUUAAAGUUUUUACAUUUUUUAACAUUAUCUCCUUGUAGUUUUAUAGAUGGUUAUGCUGUAGUUUGAUUUAACAUUUAAGUAAGGAGCACUAUUAGUAUUUCAAUUAAUAACAUUACAUAGGUUAUUUUUCGUUAAGUUUUCACUUUAUUUGAAACCAUAAUAAGAUGGUGAAAUAGACAUUUAGAAACAUUAGAGAUGCCAUGUGGCAAUAGAUGAAAUCACGGGGAGUUAUUUAAAAUUUACCCAAGAUCAAAUGACCGAUUGGUCGAACUCACAGGUGAGAGAAAGGAUCUUAGAAAGAAAUGCAGACUUCCUUAACCCUGUGCUCUUUAGAAAAUAUUCAAGCAAUGAAUCCAAUCGCAUUUUAACCAGGAUUUAGUUCAUAGUAAUUCAAUGAGUGGUUGGACACAUUGAAUAAUCUCUCACUUUCUGAAACUGCAGUGAACUGUCAUCAACUGGUAGUCUCCAUAAAUGGUGGGCUUCAAUAAAACUACAUUUAACUGCAAACGUAUCUGUUUUAUUCUAUUUCGAGUGAGCAUAUCUAUAGAACUGUUGAAAAGAACUUCUUAGGCCUAUAAUCAAAUGAAUAAUUCUUCUGAAUUAAUUUUCAUCAUGAUCUCUUGAUAAUCACCAUUCAGCAUAUAGGAGUCUACUUAUGCCUAAUCAGUGCAUGGAAAUGAAGACUCAGUGAUUAGCAACAAAGAAAACCAGAACAUAAAUGGUUGAGACCACUAUUGUCCCAAAUCUUCCUAGAUAGGCAUCUUACGAGAGAGGCUCUUCACUCUUCAGGGGUGCAACGCAGCUGUUGGAUGUGCCAAACUAAUUACAGACGUUAUUAGAAGCAGUGGCGUUGUAUCUGGCCAAGUUUUUUUUUUUUUUUUUGGGUAAAAUAAGGUGGUGAACAUAAAUUAAACAUUGUCAAUUACAAUCAUCCUGGGUGUACACUACUUACCCAUUACAUCUUGCAGCACAAUAUUAGAAAUAGUAGCAGGGCAAGAAUCAAAACUACAAAAGGUGGUAAAAUAGAGGUCUCCAUCUCG